UGGAACAACAUGGUUGAAAUCUCUCAUGUUUUCUAUCAUGAAUCGAACCAGGUAUGAUUUCUCAGCACACCCUUUGCUGACUUCUAGCCCUCAUGAACUUGUUCCCUUCCUGGAAUUCUACGCAGAGCAGAACAUCCCCUUCCCAGACCUGGACACACUUUCCUCUCCUCAGCUCUACCAUACUCACAUUGCCCUCACUUCAUUACCCCAACCUGUCAUAGACUCUCAGUGUCGAGUUGUCUAUAUCUGUCGCAACCCCAAAGAUGUGUUUGUUUCUAUUUUUUGUUCUCUCGAGAUGGAAUAUAGUGGUUCCCCUUGAAGAGGCAUUUGAGUUGUUCUGCAAAGGAAUUAGCUUCUAUGGACCCUUCUGGGACCAUGUUUUAGGGUAUUGGAAGGAUAGUUUAGCUUCACCCCAGAGAAUAUUGUUUAUGAAAUAUGAAGAUGUGAAGAGGGAUUCCUUGUGUCAGGUCAAGAGGUUGGCAGAGUUCAUGGGCUUUCCCUUCUCUUCCGAGGAAGAGGGACAAGGUUUGAUACAUGAAAUUAUGGAGCUGUGUAGUUUUGAGAAUCUAAGAAAUUUGAAGGUAAACAAGACCGGAGCAAUAUCUGUGGGCAAUGUCAGCACUGGAAAGGAUACUUUCUUCAGGAAAGGUGAGGUUGGUGAUUGGAAGAAUCAUCUGACAGCUGAAAUGGCCGAUCGCACUGACAGGAUCAUGGAGGAAAAGUUGAAAGGUUCUGGUCUGACGUUCAGCGACUCCUGUGAUAGCUGAUUAUUAGUGCUGGAGGUGAACUUCAUAUGAUUUGUAUUAAGUUAAUUUAUUAACUAUCUAAUUGUCUUCUGUUAAGCGUGCUUGUAACAAAUGGAAUGAUGGUGUUAAGUUAAUUUGUAUUAAGUUAUAAGGCUUUCUUAAUUUAUAUAUAAAUUCAAUACUUGGCUAAGAAAUCAAUUCCACCAAAUAUACACAUGGACCAAUUAAAUUGGUCUCCUGAAUAUAACUAACUCAUCCUUGUCAAGAAAUUCCCGAACCUUAAAAGGGCAACAUGUGUUUCAUGAGAUUGUUCAAUUUCUCCCCUUUUUUUUAUUUCAAUCUACCUAAACAAGCUCAAUUACAAUUAAUUUUAUCAUAUUUUAAAAAAUUUGUGUAACACGGGUCUCAUGAGCUUGUUCCCUUCUUGGAAUUCUACUUACAUCAGAACAUCCCUUUCCCAAAAUUGGACACACUUUCCCCUCCGCAUCUCUUCCAUACUCACUUUCCUUUUACUUCCUUACCUCAACCUGUCAUAGACUCUCAGUGUCGAAUUGUCUACAUCUGUCGCAAUCCCUUUCCAUUGAAGAGGAAUUUGAGCAGUUCUGUAAAGGGGUAUGUGUCUGUGGACCCUUCCGGGAUCAUAUUUUAGGGUAUUGGAAGGCAAGUUUGGAUUCGCCCAAGAGUGUUGUUCAUGAAAUAUGAAGAUCUGAAGAGGGAUUCCUCAUUUCAUGUCAAGGAGUUGGCAGAGUUCAUAGGCUGCCCCUUCUCCCCGGAGGAAGAAACCCAAGGUUUGGUACAUGAAAUUAUAAAGCUGUGUAGCUUUGAGAAUCUAAGCAAUUUGAAGGCAAACAAGAUAGGAGCAUUAUCCGUGGGGGAUGUUAGAUUUAGAAAGGAUACUUUCUUCAGGAAAGGUGAGAUUGGAGAUUGGAAGAAUCAUUUGACAGCUGAGAUGGCUGACCGUCUUGACAGGAUCAUUGAGGAAAAGUUUAAAGGGUCUGGUUUGACAUUCAGUGAUUCCUGAUCUGCAGAUGAUCAAUUGUUGCAAAUGUAACCAUAUUAAUGGUGUCAUGGAGGUGUAUCAAUUAUGGUUUGUAUUAAUAAAUUUGAAAUGUUUUCUUAGACUGCCUCUUGCAAUUUUAAUGUUUUUAUAGUGUAGUUAGUACUUGGUAUAGCUGUGAACCUACCAAUCAUUAGUUACACUACUGAUGGCUUAAGAUUACUUUUAAAUUAAAAUCAUGUUUAAUAACUUAAAUUAAGUCAUUAAUUAUUAAGUCAAAUUAAGUCAUUAAAUUGAUUUAUCAAAUAUCUGGUCAUCCCUUUCCUGGUAAGAGCCAUAGUAAGAUUACGAAGUUGUCUCAUUUUUCCCUUUUAUUCCUCAAUUUACUCAAAACAAAUUUAACUACAUCUGGUUUGAUCUCAAACCAUUCUCCAAAUCAAGGUCUUCGAACGAUCUCAUAUAUACGUAUGCUAGAUAGAGGGGUGAACAAAGCCCUUUAAUAAAGAGUUACUUGAUUAAAAUUGAUGAGAAAAUCCAAAUUUGCACUCUGUUCUUUCUUACUCUCCAUGUGAACUUCCAACUCCAUGUUCCUACAGCUUCUUCUGUUUCUAACAUAAAUAAAUCAUAUAGCACCAUUGAGAUGACUCAACAGCUUUGUACAAGAAAGCAUUUAAUAUUUUAAUAUAUAUAUAUAUAUUCAAAACUUAAAAAUAAAUUUAAAUAUUUUUUUAUUCAUGAUAAUAAAUAUCAAAAUAAUAUAGAUAAAACAACUAAUAAUUUUGAAAUUAAUAAAAUAUAUAGCUACUAAAAUCUAAUUUUAAAUAAUAGAAUCUUAUGUUAUAAGAAUAAUUAUAAGUUAAGCAUAUUUAAUAAAAUUAGAAAUGCUAAAAUUUUAAUAAAUCUUCAUGGCACCCUUAUCAUAAUUUAAUCUAUCAAUAUUAAUGAUAAAAAGAUGAAAUUUGUUUAAAUUUUUUAAUUUUUUAGGUUUUAACUUUUAAUAAUUUAUAAAUUAUAUAUUUGUGGCAUCACUAGUUUGACUACGGUUCAAUCAUCUGUCCAACCAUUGAACUGUGUAUCAAUAACUUUUCUAAUUCAACGAUUGAUCAAAUUCUAAAAACAUUUUAAUAAGUAAAACUAUAUUUUAGAAAUAGUUUUAUUAAAAAUAAUAAUAAUUAUGAAAUUAAAUUUUAGAACAAAUAGGGAUCUGAAUUGCACUCAAUUAUUAGGUGUGACCUUUGUUCCUCACAUGGGUAAAAAUUGGUUGUAUCUCCUUAAACUAUUGGAUGGGGGUAGUGUAGAAUGAUUUCUAAAACCAACAUUUUUUUAUUAGAUCUUUUUAGUAAAGUGAUGUGUUUUAUAAUUAUGUCUAGAUAAAUACACGUAUGCUGCACAACUAGCUUGACUCUUGGAUUUUGCCAUGUAAUUGAUGCAUGCCUUGAUUUGGUCAAGGGUUACGCAUUUGGAACAUGGAUGGGGCUUUAAUCAGUCCUAUUGGCAAGCAUUGUGGACACUAGAUAAAUUGCUUUAUGGCUUGGUUUCAUUAAGAUAGACCUUAAUGUCGAUAUAGGAAUUAGAGAGUUUCUUGUCUAGAAUUAAAGAGUUUCACUAUUCAAGAUGAUAAUUUGCAUUAAUAAAGAAAUUUGCAUUAAUCAGGCUUGGGAGCUUUAUCCUCACAAAAACCUUUAAGCGCCUCCAGCACCUCCUGCUUCGAAAACGGCUCCUCCAAACUGGCUGCAUCCACAGUCUCCAAUCUCUCAAAAGGCAAUCCCCUUAAAUUGGGUCUCCAACCUCCAGCAAAAGACAACAUAGAUUUAAACUUAGUCACCACCCCAUCUCUAAGCUCAUUCUCCUCUGUUAACCAAACUCCAUUUAUUUUGACAUGGGAUAACAUGUUCUGCCUCCUGUGAGUGUUAGCCAUCCUAUGGAAGAACUUAGUAUUCCUGUCCUCCUCUCUCAACUAGACUUCCCUGGAUUUUUGUCUCUAAGAUAUCUCUUCCAGCAAAGCCCACUUCUUAAAAUCCUCUUUAGCUCAUCUCCUUGCGUCCACCUCCUGAACAGAGAGAGGCCAAGAUAACUCCAUUUUGUCCCAGAAAUCCACCUGACUCAAAGCCAAAGUCUUAUUGACCUCCACUUUCCCAAACUCCAGCUUAUUCCAAUAUCUCAACAGAGGCUUCAAAGCUUUAAAUUUAGAAGCUAACACAUAGCUUGCAGAUCCACUAAAAUUGAGCCCCACUCACCACCCCUGCAUUUUUUCUUUGAACCCCUCUUCCUUCAACCACAUAUUCUCAAACCUGAACGGCAUCGGACCACUCCUUACUCCUCCCCCGUCUAGAAGAAUUGGAAAAUGAUCUGAAGUCGGCUUAGGAAGGACAUACUGCAUAAACCCAGAGAAAUGAUCCUCCCAUUCAUUUGAAAUCAGAAACCGAUUGAGCCUUGAAUGGGAUUGAUUGUUCAAUCCUCCCUUCUAGGUGAAGGAGCCUCCUUGCAAAGGCAGGUCCCUCAACUCUAAAUCCUCCAUAAUAUCCAAAAAUCUCCUCAUUGAAGCAGAUAAUCUGCCUCCCCUACUGCUCUUUAUAGGGAAUCUCACAACAUUGAAAUCCCCUGCCACACACCAAGGAUCACUCCAUAGACCCCUUACCGCUCCUAAUUCCGCCCAAAAAUCUUCCCUCUCUUUCAUCAACGAAGGCCCAUAAACUCCAAAGAAUAACCAACAAAAGUCGUCCUCACAAUUUUUGAAUCUGCAAGACACUGAAAAGUUCCCCACUUCCGCUUCCAAUAAUUGCAGCACCUUUUUAUCCCAUAACACCAGCACACCACUAGAAGCUCCCCUCGAAUUUAACACCUUCCAAUCCAGACAUCUUCCCACUCCGAGGCUUCUAACUAUCAUCUUUGACAUUUCCUGCAUCUUGGUCUCUUGUAAACACACUACAUCCACCUUUUGACCCUUGAUCAACGCCUUAAUCACCUUUCUUUUCUCACUAUCAUUAGCUUCUCUAAUAUUCCACGACAAAACUCUUAAUUUCAUAACAUCCACCUUAAUAACCCUCUCUCUCCUCUCUGGACCAAUAAACCUAAACUUCAGUUAGCAAUCUGAAGCAACCCCGCACUCUUUCUAGUCCCACAAUAAUUCACUGAACACUCCAAUUUUUUCAAUUCUCUCUCUGACUUGGAGACCUUUUGAACUUUUUUUUUCCGCCACAACACCCUUAAUAUUCUUUUGCUCUUCCAUUCCUCUUAAUAAUAAUAAUAAAACUUCCCCUUCAAAACCCUCCGUAGGCAUACCCAGACACUUACAAAGAUUUAUAAAAUCUCCAUUCAUCCACGAGCCCAACACACUUCUAUUAUCUUCCUCCGAAACUCUUCCCAUAACUUCUAUCGACAUUUCUCCCCCCUUACUCUCCUUAAUAUUCUUCUCCAUGCCGAAAGAAAUUUCCCUCUCCCUUCCACCAGCCUCAAUGAUUCUCAACGGGUCAGCCAUCCCUUCUUCGUUCACCAAAUAUGGCCCCUCGAGUGCCACCAAGUCCCGAAUAGCCAUAAAAUCCUCAUUUUUUUCCCUACAGAAAGAAAAAGAAGAAGAGGAAAGAUGUCCCCGAUCCCCGAAACUAAGAAGAGAACAGUUUUCGGGAAGUGAGUACCUGGAAACCUCCUCCAAGAGGGCCUCAUCUGCUCUAAUCUUUCCUCCUGCUUCAGCCCACAACGCAGCGCAGACAAUGGCCUCGACUAGCCUCGACUCCUCGCACGAAGACUGAAUCGUCGGAGCCCUAACUUUCAUAAAGCAAUCAUUGUGACCCAUCUGGGCUAUACCUUGGCCCAAUCCCCUGAGCCCACAUUCCUUUGAAAGACCCAAAGAAGGUUAACAACCCUUUUUACUAAGGCCCACUCCAAAACCCUCCUGGGCCACAGGCUUCUCCGGACCUAUAAACUGUCCACAGCCCCUUUGGGCUCCCCCCUUCUUCAAACUUCCCCCCUUACUUGACUCAACCCAAUAUUCCUUAGGCCCACUACCUUUACCCCUUAAGCCCAUUCCCUCUGAUGCAAAACCCACUUCUUCAGCUGCUCUCUUUCCCUUUCCAUCAAAGUCCUCACCUGCUUCAGUACCCCCCGCCAUAUCCCGACCAUACUCCAAAGUAUCAGCUCCUACCUGCUCUUCACUGCCUACCUCACUUGCUGCCAUGGUUCCUUGUACUCACGAUGGCCCCACACUGCUUCCCACGUGUGAAGCCAAGCAUCCUUCGUCUCUGCCUUGCGACUUCUCCCUUCCUUGCGCCGACACUGUUACCGACACCCAUGGCGACACCUCCCACCAAAGCUGAAUAGCGAAACACAAAGAGCCCACCACCAAAUAUAACACCCUAGGUAAAUCCUUUCCAUCCGAUUUCACUUAAAACCUUGCCCACUGGAGCUGAGAGAAGUUAGUUGUAUCCUCGUCCACAGCCACCAGCCCUCCACAGCUGUUCCCCAAUUUUCUGAACACUUCAUAGUUCCAGAAAUUGAGAGGGAGCCCCACCGCCCUCACCCAACAAAGGUUUGUAUGAACUCCAUGACGAAAACAACCUGCUUCCGGACCUCAUCUUUCUAACUGAAAAAGUUUGUCCUGAACACGUCGGUUUCCUCUUUGCAACACUCUUUCUGCUUCUUCUGCUAUCUCAAAUUUUGCAAGAAAAGAAGUGCCUCUCAAAUAUGAAAACCUCACUCUCUUUUUCAAGUUCCAUAAACGCCUUCCCCAUAACCUUAAACAAUCUAGAUUUGGACAUUGAUCAACCUCUGUUUCCCACCUUCCCACAAGACAACGCCCUAAUUGCUCAUCUCUUCCUUUUAAUGUUCUGCUCCCUAGCUGAAUCCACAUUGCGUCCCCUAUUCUUCCCGCCUUUACCUUUGCUACUUCAACAAAUGAACGCGUAUACUCCUCCCCCUUCUCCGUGUCUUCGUCUCUUCUUCCUUCCUUUGCUCCUACCCAACCUACACCCACCUUUAUUUUCAGCUAGCAGAUGAAUACCUAAAGAACAAAGCUUUUCAGCUAGCAAAACCCAUCCCCCAAUUAACCCUCUGCCUUCCGGAAACACCAAACUAAACCUUUUCGCUUCCAUAUCACGAACAGAACAGAUAAUGUACCUCCCCGCCUCAUUAGCACGCAAUUCUAAUAUGAAUUUCCUCAUCUCCUCUACCCAAGUUUUGAUAACUUUCCUGAACUUCUCCUCCUUGCAACAAGCCUCUACUCCCCCAAGCAAACUCCUUAACCCAUAAUCUCCGAACCUAAUCCAAUUGGAGAAGCCUUUACUUCUCUCCAUUAUGAUCCCACGAAGCUUCCCCCCUGAAGAGUAAAUCAAAAUCUCAAAGGAUUUUGAUUCCACCACAAAACAACAUCUACCCCCUCCAGCACCUCUAGCACCUCCAACACUUACUCUCUCCAUCAUAACAUAGGUAGUUAAAUAUUAAACAUCAAGACAUAUUCAAGCCAGUUCCUACUGAUGCAUCUCCAAGUAAUUUCUACUGCUUCUUUAAGUGCUUUUUCAACCUUAAUUCAAUCUCCUUAACUGUUUUACAGGUAGAGUCAUACUCCUUAUCAACUCCUUCAUGAGGUAUUAUAAAAAAAUUUAUCUACCUUCAAAAUUUUCAUAAAUUCUUAAUAUAGAACUUGCAAAGAAUCUUUCAUGACUAAACUCUUAGGACUCUUUAUGGGGAUUCAAAUCUCGAGGUGCGGACCACCUCGCAGUGACCAAUAUUGGGUAAAUUCAAGGUAUUAUCAAUGGUAUGAUUCAAAUUUAGGAUUAUAUGUCAUUUAUUGAGACUAUACUUCUCAGUAUUCAUUCUAACUAAUUAGGUUAGCCUGAUAUGUGAUAUAUUAAUUAUGUAUUAAUUAUAUGUUAUUAUUGAUAUAUAAUUGGUAUAUAUGAAAAUAAUUAACUCGCUUGCAUCAAAUUGCUAACCUAUGCUCUCUUUAGGUUUUGCAGAUCGUUAUGAUGUGCCUUUAUUUUUUUUUUUUAAUAUUAUCUAAGUUGUUAUAAAAACACGCAUUUGAAUUGAUUUAUGAUAGUGUUAAGAGUAAAAAGAAAAUUAAGACAUUAUCAUACUUAUUUUAAUACCAAAUGCAAAUCUUUAAUAAUUGGUAUGUCUUGAAAACAAAAAUUAAAAAUGAUAAAAUGUGAUAAUUUUAAAAUAAUUAAAUUGUUGAGUUUCUUAUUCCCAAUCAUGUGUUAACACAACUUUUCUUGAUUGAUGAAGAGAAUUUUUAAAAUAUGUAAAGAUUAUUUAUUCUUUCUUCCAUUAUUAUUAAAUUGGAAUCAUGGUGUUGCAACUUCGAAUUGUCUCAUGAGUUGGUGAAGUCAAAUGAUUCGUACUUGAUUUCAACUUGGGUUACUAUUAAACUCUACGAUACCAACAUUACUAACUCUCGUAUUAAACUUGUUGUACCCCAUGGUUAAGAUGGACAUGAGUCGAUUUAUAUGCAUCAGUAUUUGUUGAAACUUUGAACUAUGUGACAACAUGUUAUAGUGUAUUUUUAUGUCUAGAUAUCCAAAAUGUUGACAUUAGUUAUCUUCACGAUUACUUUUACUACUCCAUGACUUCUACUAUUAUUCGACAUUUUUUUAUCUUAAUUAUUGUUUAUAAAGAUAAAUAUGUCAAUUUAUUAAUUUAAAAUCAAUUUUAAGUUAAAUGUAUUAAACAAUCUUUAUAUUUAAAGUAAAAAUUAAGUAAUAAAUUUUAAGUCAAUAAUUUAAAUAUAAUUUAACUUAAAGUUAACUUAAAUCAUUAAAUAAUAAAUAUUAAAUUUUUACCGAACACCUUUUCAUGUAAUAUUUGUUUGUUUUUUUUUACUUGAUUUUACUUAUUUUAUUUUCACCCUUAUUUUCAUUUUUUUUAUUUUGACUUUUGAUAAUGUCUUAUUUUGAUUUCAUUUUUUUUCAUUUGCAUUUAUUUUUUAUCUAUAUUUUAGCUUUCGUUUUAAACAUUCAUUUUCUCUAUUUUUAGUCUUUUAUUUUCAAACCCAUUUCUUUUAUUAUUAUUAUUGUUGUUGUUGUUGUUCAUUUUGCUAGUGCUAAAAGGUGAAAAUAAUUUUAGUGAUUAAUGUGAAUUUGAGAUCAUUUGCUAUGUUUGGUCACAGGAAAGUUUGAGGGAAAAUGUGAGAAAAAUAAAAUAGAAAGGAAAAGUAGAAGAAAAGAAAACGUGAAAGAAAAUAAAAAGUAGAUUGAAAGUUAAUAAAUCAUAUUCAUUUUAUACUUCAAACUCAUUUCACUUAUUUAACUAUUUUACAUAAAGAUUAAGUAAUUUAAAAAUAUGUAAGUUUUUCACUAAUUUUAAUUAUAUUCAACUUUUAAAUAUUUUUUUUAAUAAAACUAAACACGAGAAAAUAAUUUUCUUUAGCAUAUUUUUUAGUAUUUUUGGGAACCAAAUAUAGCCUUAAAAUUAGAAAGAAAAAAAAUAAACUAAAAAAAGAGAGUGAAUGAAGUUAAGAAGAGAAGGAGGUUGCAUGUGGCCUUAUUUGAUAACUGUUUAAACAGUUCUAAAAAAUAUAAUUGAAAAAUAAUUUUUUAGAAUAGUUUUUGAAAACUAUUAUUUGAUAUUUUAUAAAAUAAAAAUUUGUCUUUGAACUUAAAAUUUUUUUGACUUAUUUUUAAUAUUUUUAAAUAUAUUUUAAAAAUAAUUUUUACAUCUAGAUCUUUAUUUUUAAUCAUAAUACAUAUUUGUACAAUUAUUUUUUAAAAUAAUUUUAAAAAAACAAGUAAAAAAAAUUAAAAAAAUUCUCUAAAAAUGUUAUAUUUUUUAUUUUUGAUAACAAAAAAAAAAAAUUCUAAUUACUAAAUAUUUUUUAGUUUUUUUUUUAAAACAGUUGUCAAACAUUCACAUAACUUUGACUAUUCCCUUUUUGUUCAACAAGAGUGGCAGAAUUUCAGGGAUGGAAUGGAGAGCAAUUAUUUAUUUAUUUAUUUUUAAAAAAGGAUUGAAAGCAAGGAAAAGACUAAAGGCUUUGAAAAGUAAAAGAAAAUACAGAGGAAAGGUGGCAAAAAUUGGGUAUGAGAGGGCACAAAUGGUAAAUAAGGUCAUUGUCCCAUUGUACAUCUUUAUUUUAUAAUGAUAAUGAGAAGGUGAUAGACUCGCAUAUACCCAAAUAAAUCCAUAUAUGCACAUCUUUAUUCUAUAUUCUCUCUGAUCUAAAAUAAUAUCAUGUCACAUCCAAGUGUGAACACUCAUAAAAGUAAGAAUGGUCGUGCCAACUAGCAUUCACAUGGGUCUCUCUUUUUCUAGCCCUUUGAACAUUUUCUUUAAUGUAUCCAUCCUUGAUUCUCUCUUUAGGACCUUUGGACUUUUCUAAAGUGAUCCCCUAUGAUUUAUGCUAUGAAAAGACUAUUUUUACUUUUAUGGGUACUCACAUAAAUUUAUUGAAAAAAUAGGAAAAAGAUGUACAUUUAUAAUAUAAAUCAUGGUGAGACCAAUUCUUCUAGUUUAACUCUCCUAGUUAAGAUUUCGUUUCAAAGUAAUUUUGACUUAAAAAAAUGUUUUGAAAAAAAUGAGAUAUUUUGACAAAUUUUAGAAAACUUGGAAAAUUACUUAUAAUAUUUUAUGGAGAAAUACUAUUCUUUUAAAAAUACUUUUAGACAAAAUAUUUUUUUUAAAAAAUAUUAUAAAUAGAAAUACUGUUAAAUGUACUUGAAUAAUGCGUUUAACAGUAAUUUUAGAAAAUGUUUCUAAUUUUUUUAACACUUAAAUUAUAUAUAUAUUUUGUAAUAACUUUAUAUUUUGAUUUGUCAUUUUGAUUCUUUGAUAUUUGAAUAAUGUCAUAGUUAUGUGAUUUGUGCAAUUUUGUGAUUUAAACUUGAUUACAUUGCAUAUUUCUACAUGUUCAAUGUCCAUUAAUAUUGUAUCUAAAUUUAUAUUUUAAUUUAUUUAGGGUUUAUUUGAAAUGAAAUAUGGCUUAAAUUUUGAUAAAUGAUGGGAAAAUGAGAUGGUGGUAAGCUAUAUUGAUUUUGUUUUAUUUCUGAAUUGUUGUGUUUGUGUUGUAUGUGGUUGUUGGGAAGAAUACGGAAAAGAGAAGAAAAAUAUGAGUAUUGCAUGUGAAGGGAAUACAAUUUUUAGGAAUGUUCAAACAAUUUGUUGUUUAAUGUUGUUUAUAUGGGAUUCGAGAUGUUUUGUUGUUUAAUGUUGUUUAUCUGGGAUUCCAAAAUGAGUAAUUUGAGUGAUUUUUAUAGUUGUUAAUUGGUGAAUCUAAUGCAUGGGAAAAGAAUUCAUGUUUAGUCAUGAGUAGAUGAGUAUAAAUUUUAAAAAUGAUUGGGAUAAAAGUUUGAAUAAAUUUUUUAAUAAAAGUUUUGAAUUUGUAAUGAAUAAGGAUUGAAUUGAAGAAGAAAAUAAAACAAAUUUAGUAAAGUGGGCAUGAAUUUAUGUGGGAAUUAGGGAAAAUAGUAUUGGAGCCUUAGGUUCAAAAUUGAUGGUCACAACCACAAAUAUGAAAUUUGUUUUGUUUAUGUGUGUAGUGGUCAUAGUAAGGGUCUACCCUUAGAUGAAGGGGUUGGCCGUAAUUCAGUUAAUGACAUUUGGAUGAAAUUAUUGUUUUCGUAAGAGGUUGCAGUAAGUGAAUUAAAGGCUGACCCAUUUGUUUGGAGGUAGGCCCUUAGUUAUAAAUAUUGUUGUGGUUUAAUCUGGAUAGUAGGCAAAAUAAAGGCUGACCCAUUUGUUUGGAGGUCGGCCCUUGGUUGUAAACAUUGUUGUGGUUUAAUUUGGGCAGUGGGCAAAAUAAAGGUUGACCCAUUUUUUUGGAGGUCGGCCCUUGGUUGUAAACAUUAUUGUGGUAUAAGUUGGGCAGUAGGCAAAAUAAGGGUUGGCCCAAUUGUUUGGAGGUCGGCCCUUGGUUGUAACAUUGUUAUGGUUAAAUUUGGGCAGUGGGCAAAAUAAAGGUCGACCCAUUGUUUGAGGGGGUGGCCCGAAGAGAGUGAAAUUAGCACAAUUUGGCUUGAAGAGUUACCAAAACAAUGGUUAGCCUAUGAAUUGAGAGGUUCACUCCCUAAAUUAUAUAACAUAACAAAUUACUACGCAGUAAAAUAGAAUAAUUGCAUUGCUUAAUGUUAAGUAUACACUAUGCAUGUCUAUAUUUACAUCAUUAAUUGUAAACUAUGAAAUGUAAAUGAAGCUCGUUUGUAAAGUUUCAAAGAUAAAUGAUGUAUUAAUAUAUGAUGGUCAUAGGCAUGAUAAUAAGUUUUGUUAUAAGUAAGUUGGUUUAUGCAGUGUUAUUAAGAAAUUAGUUAAUUGUUUUAGCUUGACUAAAGGUUCAUGCUUCUAAACAGGGGCUGCACAUGAUCGAGUAGCAUUUAAAUGGAUCCAAAUAAUACAAUUUAUUGUUAUCUGCACAUUGGAGGAGAGCUAGUAAGGGAUGAACAUGGCAAUGUGGAAUAUAUGGGUGGGAGACGAGAGGGUCUAAGUUUAGAACGAUCAAUGACAUAUAAUGAUUUUGUUUCAAGGAUUUGUGGGAAAAUGAACAUCAAUAUAGUGGGACCAACAUUUUCAUAUACUCUCCCAUUUGAUUUAUAUGCACUUCAACCAUUGAAAAAUGAUGAAGACUUGACAAACAUGUUUCAAUUUAGUGACCGAUGUGCACGUGUAUAUAUAUGUUUAACAUCAACAGUUGAAGACGAUGAAAUGAUUGAGAAUGGAGGACAAGGGUAAGUUAUAUCAAAAAAAUAUGUAAUCUUAAAUGAUUCCAUGUAUUUAUUUAUUUUGUAAUAUUUAUGUUUAUUCAUUAGAUGUUAUAAUGCAGCUUGAACGAAACAAUCGUAGGGUCUAACUCGCCGGUCCCAUAUUCAACAAGAGAUGUUGAUAUUAGAAUGCAAUCACGAGGAUUUCAUCAAAGAUGUGCUAAAUCACAUGUUGGUCCACUAGAGUCAAGCCGUUUUGAGAGUGCAAUAUUGGGUAGUGGGCAUACCUUCUCAACUGCAAAUGAAUUUCGGGAUGCAAUAUAUCUCAUGUCAGUAGGAGGCCGUUUUAGAUAUAAGUUUAAGAGGAAUUGUCUUAAGCAUAUGACUGUAAUAUGUGUUGUUGAAGGAUGCCCUUGGAAAGUAACUGCUCAUGCUGUUGGGAGAACAAAAAUAGUUCAAGUGCAUACAUUUAGAAAUGAACAUAACCACUCUUUAGAAGAUGUGUCAAUUUCCGAACCAGUAGUUCAUUGUAAUCGAGCCACAACUAUGAUUGAUGAUGUUAUUCGUUCAAAUCCAGAUUACUUACCCCGUCAAAUAUGUAAAGACUUUCGUCGACAAUACGGAAUGCAAUUGAAUUAUUGUCAAGCAUGGAACUUGAAAGAGAAGGCUAAAGAACGAAUUCAUGGUGUGCCGCAAUGUUCAUAUAAGUUGUUACCUUGGUUAUGUACAAGGCUUAUUGAAACAAAUCCAGGGACGAUUGCUGAAUAUAGAUGUUCGGAUGAUGGUCAUUUUAUGCAAUUGUUUGUUGCCCUUUCAGUGUCAAUACAUGGGUUUCAACUGGGAUGUCGGCCUAUUAUAUCAAUAGAUUCAUCCCACAUGAGUGGGCCAUACAAGUGUGCUUUAUUUUCAGCUUCUUCCUAUGAUGUUGAUGAUGGCAUGUUUCCACUUGCUUAUGGCUUAUUUAGCUCUAAGAAUUACGAGGAUUGGCUUUGGUUUUUAGAGAAAUUGAAGAUGGUCAUAGGUGAAAGAGAUGUUAUAAUAAUAUCUAAUAGGCACCAAGGGAUUAUCCGUAGUGUUUCAGAGGUAUUUGGUAGUGAAAACCAUGCACAUUGCUAUCGUCGCAUUAAAGAAAACUUUAGUAGCUUUCUAACAAAGCUAAACACUAAAGGGAGGAAAGGAAAGGAAAAUGCUUUGCAAAUGCUUGAUUCUAUCGCCUAUGCUAGGUUAGAUUGUGAUUAUGAGGUUGCAAUGGAUACUUUAAGGACAUUUAAUCAUGAUUUGGUGAAGUGGGUUGAAGAAAAUAACCCUCAACAUUGGGCAAUCUCUAAAUUUAAGAAGAUGCAUUAGGAUAAGAUGACAAGUAAUUUGGCCGAGUCUUUUAAUUCUUGGUUAAGACAUGAACGACACCAUAACAUUUGUGUUUUCUUCAUCGAGCAUAUGGAUAAGUUAGGAUCUCUUUUAGCCGAGCAUAAAAAUGGACUUGUAAAAUGGAAUGGGUGUAUUGGUCCUAAAACAGAAGAAAAGAUUGCAUUGAACAUUGGAAAAGGUGAAAAUUAUAUCACUUAUUUACACUUGGGUAGUUCGAUGAAAGUAUCCAAUGGAAAAGCAUUCCUGGAAGUGGACUUAAUGGAGCGAACUUGCAUAUGUAAAGCAUGGCAAAUGUCUGGAAUCCCAUGUGAUCAUGCUUGUGCAGCUAUACGGCGAAUGGGGUUUGAUGUAUCUGAUUAUGUUGAUGACUGGUAUAAGUACAAUUUGCAAGAGAAGAUAUACUCUGGAAGCAUGCGUACUUUGGUAACGCAUGACAUGCCAAUGAUUGAUGAAGAUGGAACCGUUCGUGAUGCCUUGGGUCAUACUUAUCCCUUUCUUAAUCCUCCAACCACAAAGCGACCUCCUGGAAGACCUAGGAAACGUCGAAUCGAGUCUCAAUUCAUGUAAAAAAAAACAGUUCAUUGUUCUCGUUGUAAUCAGUCUGGGCAUAAUCGUGCGACAUGUAACAACCCAUUGCUGUAAGUUUUUUUUUUAUUAAACUUCAUAAUGUAAGAUCGACUUUAUAUUAGUAUGAAAUAGUUUGGUAAUCUUCGUUGUUGUUUCCUUGAUUAUAAGCAAUGAGUAAUUUAUUGGAUUUGAAGUGUUUGGUGUACAUAUAUUGUGAUUGUAUGUUGUUCUUCAAUAUUAUGGGAUAUGUUACAUGAUAAUGUAAUUGUAAUAGCAAAAUAUGUACCUUGGUCAUUAUUGUUCAAAGAUGGCAUUGAAGUGACAUAGAUUCAUAUGGCGUCCUUGGCAAAAAAACGAGAUUGUUAACUAGUGGGCAUAAUCGUGGCCAACCUUUACAUGUAGGGGCUGCUGCUUUUUGGCUGAUGACCCUUAAGCAUAUUAUUUAGUUUUGUGUGAAAUGGGCAGUAGCCAAAAUAAGGUUGUGCCUGUUAGAUCAUAGGCAACCCUAUCGUUUUUCAUCUUUAAAAUUGGUUUCGUAUUAUGUGAGGUGUCUGUAAAAGGGAGAUUGAACCAUUAACACCAUGGGAAGGCAUUCGAACAUUAGUUUAGUAUGUUAUGUGCAGAAGGCAAUCUAGGGGCGCACCUUCCAUUUGAAAGGCAUGCCUAUGUGUUAAUGAUAUUAUAUAACUAUGCUACAUGCAGAAGGCAAAGCAGGGGUGCACCCUUGGUUGCAUAGGUAUGCCCAUGGGUAUGAUAACUUUAUUGGGAAAUUCUAUAUGCAGUAUGCAAAGUAGGGGCACACCCUUGAUUUUAGGGGCAUGCCUAUUGCUAAAACCAUUAUAUUGGUAAGUUAUGUGUAGUAGUCAACCUAAGAGCAAAACCUUGAUGGAAGACACAUAAAUAUGUGUGAAAAACUUCUUUUUGUUAAGCUACUUGCAGUAGGAAAAAGAAAGACAUGACUCUCUGUCAGAGGCAUGCCUUUAGGAUGACUAGAGUUGAGGUGUGGGUUGGGCAGUAAGGCGAAUGGAGGCAUACUGAUAGCUUAAAGGUUGGCCCUUGAUGUUCAUAUGAAAUAAACGUUGGAAAUGAUUCCUUGUUGAUUCAAAAUCAUAGAUUUUUUCUAAAAAUUUAAUUAUUCAAUUUUUAAUUUAUUUUUUAUUAUCUUAAUUUUUAACUACUUUUUUUAUUUAGCUCAUUAAUAAUUUUUUUUAUUUAUCCGUUUACUUUUAUUUAAUUUCAAAAUUUUGUAUUUUUAAAUAUCACAAAAAUAGUUGUGCUGAGAAUAUGUUACAAUAUAACAAAAAAUAUAAUGAAGUCCUAAUAUUUUAUAACUAAAAAUUAAUUUGAUUAGAUAAAUGAUUAAUAAUUUUAAUUAUUUAAAUAAAUUAAUUUUAAUAGAAAAAUUGCCACCACAUAUUUGUAAUAAAUUUUUAGAAAUCAUAUCUCAAAUCAAAUAUUUGAUAUAAAUCAAUUUAGUUUUUAUUUAAAAUUUAAUAAAAUAUGUUUUAAUAAAAGUAUUUUUUAAUUUUAAAAUAAAUAACAUAAAUAUAUUAAAUGUAAUUAUGACCCAUCCAUGCUCAGAUGGGGGUCCUGGAAUCACUAGACUUGGAUGUACCAAAUUUAAUGAAGGAUGUACCAAAUUUUGUUAAAGAUGUACCAAGGGCUCCAAAGUGUGAUCCGAAGUGGGGAUCGACUCCAAAUCACUUUGUUAUGGGUUUCUAAAUAAAAUAGUGGCUCAUCCAUGGUCAGAAGGGGGUCCCGGAAUCACUAGGCUCGGAUGUACCAAAUUUAAUGAAGGAUGUACCAAAUUUUGUGAAGGAUGUACCAAGGGUCCAAAAAUGCAUUCCGUAGUGGGGAUCGACCCCCGAUCACUUUGUUAUGGGUUUCUUAAAGAAAUUACAGACCAUCCACGUUGAAAUGGGAGUCUCGGAAUCUGUCGGAUCGGAUGUACCAAAUUUAAUGAAGGAUGUACCAAAUUUUGUGAAGGAUGUACCAAAUUUUGUGAAUGAUGUACCAAGGGUCCAAAAAUGCUUUCCGAAGUGGGGAUCGGCCCCAAAUCACUUUUUUUUGGGUUUUUAAAUGAAAUAGUGGCUCAUCCACGGUCAGAAGAGGGUCCCAGAAUCAUUAGGAUCGGAUGUACCAAAUUUUGUGAAGGAUGUACCAAGGGUCCGAAAAUGCGUUCCGAAGUGGGGAUCGACCCCCAAUCACUUUGUUAUGGGUUUCUAAAUGAAAUUAUGGACCAUCCAUGUUGAAAUGGGGGUCUCGGAAUCUGUCGGAUCGGAUGUACCAAAUUUAAUGAAGGAUGUACCAAAUUUUGUGAAGGAUGUACCAAAUUUUGUAAUGAGUACCAAAUUGAUGUACCAAGGGUCCAAAAAUGCUUUCCGAAGUGGGGAUCGGCCCCAAAUCACUUUGUUAUGGGUUUUUAAAUGAAAUAGUGGCUCAUCCACGGUCAGAAGAGGGUCCCGGAAUCACUAGGAUCGGAUGUACCAAAUUUUGUGAAGGAUGUACCAAGGGUCCGAAAAUGCGUUCCGAAGUGGGGAUCGACCCCCAAUCACUUUGUUAUGGGUUUCUUAAAGAAAUUACAGACAUCCAUGUUGAAAUGGGGGUCUCGGAAUCUGUCGGAUCGGAUGUACCAAAUUUAAUGAAGGAUGUACCAAAUUUUGUGAAGGAUGUACCAAAUUUUGUGAAUGAUGUACCAAGGGUCCAAAAAUGCUUUCCGAAGCGGGGAUCGGCCCCAAAUCACUUUGUUAUGGGUUUUUAAAUGAAAUAGUGGCUCAUCCACGAUCAGAAGAGGGUCUCGGAAUCACUAGGAUCGGAUGUACCAAAUUUUGUGAAGGAUGUACCAAGGGUCCAAAAAUGCGUUCUGAAGUGGGGAUCGACCCCCAAUCACUUUGUUAUGGGUUUCUUAAAGAAAUUACAGACCAUCCAUGUUGAAAUGGGGGUCUCGGAAUCUGUCGGAUCGGAUGUACCAAAUUUAAUGAAGGAUGUACCAAAUUUUGUGAAUGAUGUAGCAAGGGUCCAAAAAUGCUUUCUGAAGUGGGGAUCGGCCCUAAAUCACUUUGUUAUGGGUUUUUAAAUUAAAUAGUGGCUCAUCCAUGGUCAGAAGAGGGUCCCGGAAUCACUAGGAUCGGAUGUACCAAAUUUUGUGAAGGAUGUACCAAGGGUCCGAAAAUGCGUUCCGAAGUGGGGAUCGACCCCCAAUCACUUUGUUAUGGGUUUCUAAAUGAAAUUAUGGACCAUCCAUGUGGAAAUGGGGGUCUCGGAAUCUGUCGGAUCGGAUGUACCAAAUUUAAUGAAGGAUGUACCAAAUUUUGUGAAGGAUGUACCAAAUUUUGUGAAUGAUGUACUAAGAGUCCAAAAAUGCUUUUCGAAGUGGGGAUCGGCCCCAAAUCACUUUGUUAUGGGGUUUUAAAUGAAAUAGUGGCUCAUCCACGGUCAGAAGAGGGUCCCGGAAUCACUAGGAUCGGAUGUACCAAAUUUUGUGCAUAUUGUGUGGCCUAGGGUGAAGGGGAUCCUCGUUUGAAAAGAACACACCAUCUUCUACGUUGGGUCUUUCUGACACCCCUUCAUUUGUACAUCCAACGUCAUCUUCAAAAGAUCUUCUUUGACCACCAGAAUGAACAGGUGAAUGUUGUGGAUUAUUUGUAUAAAAUGGUGCACCACUUUCAUUAACAUGUUCAUGAAAAUUUGACGGUUGGCCUUCAUCUGUGCGAUAGUGUGAAGAGGUGAAACGAGUCCUCAACACUUUCACGUCACGGUUGUAUGAUGCAAUAAGACUAUUAAGAUGACUUUGUGCAUCGGUGAUUUGACGUUGUGUUGCCUCCAUGCGAGCACAAAUAACCUAAGUCAAACAUAAUGAAGGAACAUUAAAUGACAUAUAUUUAAACUAAGCCUUAAUAUAAGUUACUAUUCAUAGUCAUUAGGUAUGAAGGAUUACAUCAAAGUCUUCAUUCUCAUCUGGGUCAACUGGGUCAUCAACUGCAGGAGCCUUAUUUUUUUCUGUUUCAUCUUGCUCCGCCGAUGUGCUAACCAACUAUCAUUGCAAAACAUGUAAAUUGUCAUCCCAAUAAUCUAAUUACAAUGGUAAUCAACUAUCUUAAUAUAACUAAAAGCUAAUUAUACCUCAACUUUGCCAAAUCCUCCAAGCAUUUCUAACUCCAACUUGAUGCAUUGCUUGACCAAAAAAUCAUUCCAUGCAGCAAUGCGAGGAGUGGUAAGUUCCACAUACAUGGCUGGAAAAUUAGAUAUUGAAAAGUAGAAUAUCUGAUGCAUUAUAUAAGACAUAAUUAGUGGUAACAUCAUGGCCAACAUAGUGUAUAACCAUUAUUGAAUAUCUAAUACAUGGACAUAUACUUAUAAAUAAGACAAAAAGUUACCUGUAGAAACAUCAAACACCCUUUAAUCCAAACACUUUCUUUCCUCCUAUGUUCAUGUAUAGCUUGAAUAAAAAAUUCUAAGACAUAUUCUCCCCAAUUUAUGUUCCCAAGUAACUGCUCUCGGGGUGUAUACCAUAACGAGUGACUACCUUCCAAACGAGAAGUGGGUGCCAAUAAGGUUGCACAAGCGAAAAUCAAGAAGACCCGUUUAAAUUCCUCCAUAUCAUCGAUGCCAACCAUCAUUGACUCUAUAUCUUGCAAACUCGGCAUUUGACUAGCUUUAACACUUCCCUUCUCAACAAUUAACUUUCUUCCACUAUGUGGAAUGCCCAUCGUCAUCCCAACAUCAUGACAUGUCAAAGAAACCUUCUUACCCACAAAUAACUCGAGUUGGGAAUAAGCAAGGUUUGUGUUUUUUAUCAACCAAAAACAUAAAUCUAAAUUAACCUCCUUACAACCUAAUUGCAAUAGCCCACCAAAACCAAGUUCUCAUAUUACAUCCUUCUUCACUUCUGAGAGCAAAUGGAUUCCAGAGAGGAAUCUACGGCCAGAACAACAACACCGUAUGUUCAUAUUAUCAUUGCAUUAAACAACCAUAAUUCAUUAAUAAAUUAAUAAAAUGUUAAAGACAUGUGAACGUGAAUAUAGUGUUCCUAUAUACAUUCAUCAUAAUUAUUACACAAAUAUAACAUAUAUUAACAAAGAAAUGGGAAACAUUUUGUUACAUCAUGUAAAUGAUAAUCAUUGAGAUCGGUUUCCUCUAGCCUUUCAAUAAUAUGGUUAUCAAUAAGGGUGAAAUUUUUAUAUAUAGGGUCACCCACUAUGAUACCCACUGCAAAAAAAAAACAGACAAUGUGCAUUUUAGUGGGUCAGCCAAUAAAAACAAAUGGUACGCCUUAAAGUUACAUACUCAUCUAACCAAAUCAAUAUAGUUUAGGGAAAAGUGGGAUUUGAUUCACUAAUAAGAAAAUAUAUGGUAAAAAGAAUCCCAAAUAUUUUAAAUUAGUAUUAUCUUCAUCUAUUUAAAAAUAAUUUGAAAUACAUGCAAUGAGUUAUCCAAUUAUUCCAAAAAAUGUCAUUUUAUUUUUUAUGUUAUUCAAAUCAAUUGACAACUAUACUCCUCCAUAUAAAUGUUUCCUUAUUAUUUUAGAUUUUUUUUUUUAUUAUUUUAUUAUUUUAGAUUUUUUUUCCUCUAGAAACAAACACCUUAUAGGAUUCUUAUUUUAGUUUUCUAAAAGUUUAGGAAAUAUUGUCAAACAAAUCAUAUUUAAUUAUAAUUACCAAUUCAAGAAGUAAUAAGAUUGUUUAUUAAAUAAUAAAGAAUAAACUUCGUAAUAUAUAAUUAUUUUAAUAUUAUAACAAAUUUAUUAUUGAAAAACUCUAAUAACAAAUUUUAUUCAUUAUUAUAUUAAACAAUUAUUAAUAUUAUAUAAUAAAUAGAAAUUUAUUAUUGGUUUAUUUAUUAUCAAGAAUACGAAUCUAUUUUUAACUUAUUAAUACUAUAAUAAAUUCUGUUUUUUUUUUCAAAUUAUUACUUUAUAAUGUUUUUAGAGAAAAAAAAUUUCCCAAAUAAUAAAAUAAUAAAGUAAUAAUAAUAAUAAUAAUAAUUUAAGAUUAUUGACAACUACACUCCUCCAUAUAAAUGUUUCCUUAUUAUUUUUAGAUUUUUAUUUUAUUUUAUUAUUUUAUUAUUUAAGAUUUUUUUUCCUCUAGAAACAAACAUCUUAUAGGAUUCUUAUUUUAGUUUUCUAAAAGUUUAGGAAAUAUUGUCAAACAAAUCAUAUUUAAUCAUAAUUACGAAUUCAAAAAGUAAUAAGAUUGUUUAUUAAAUAAUAAAGAAUAAACUUCGUAAUAUAUAAUUAUUUUAAUAUUAUAACAAAUUUAUUAUUGAAAAACUCUAAUAACAAAUUUUAUUCAUUAUUAUAUUAAACAAUUAUUAAUAUUAUAUAAUAAAUAGAAAUUUAUUAUUGGUUUAUUUAUUAUCAAGAAUACGAAUCUAUUUUUAACUUAUUAAUACUAUAAUAAAUUCUGUUUUUUUUUUUCAAAUUCUUACUUUAUAAUGUUUCUAGAGAAAAAAAAAUCCCAAAUAAUAAAAUAAUAAAAUAAUAAAGUAAUAAUAAUAAUAAAAUAUCUAAAAAGAAUGGAAAUAUUUGUACAAAGGAUUCUAAUUGUCAAUGGAUUAGGAUGACAUGACAAGUAAAGGGCUAUUUUUGGGAAUAAUUAAAUCAUAAAUUAAAAAGUGCAUGCAUUUUAAAUUAUUUUUAAAUAAAUGAAGAUAAUAUUGGAAUUUUCUUUGUCAACCAAUCAGUUUUGAGAAAAAAAAGUUCUUGUAACGGAUAAGCUCCAGGAGGUUAGUUUUUGUAUAUAUAUAUAUAUAUAUAUAUAUAUAUAUAUAUAUAUAUAUAUAUAUAUAUAUAUAUAUAUAUAUAUAUAUAUAUAUAUAUAUAUAUAUAUAUAUAUAUAUAUAUAUAUAUAUAUAUAUACAUAUAUGUNNNNNNNNNNNNNNNNNNNNNNNNNNNNNNNNNNNNNNNNNNNNNNNNNNNNNNNNNNNNNNNNNNNNNNNNNNNNNNNNNNNNNNNNNNNNNNNNNNNNUUUUGAGAAAAAAAAAUUUUUGUAUGAGAUAAGCUCCAGGGGGUGUGUUUUUGUAUAUAUAUAUAUAUAUAUAUAUAUAUAUAUAUAUAUAUAUAUAUAUAUAUAUAUAUAUAUAUAUAUAUAUAUAUAUAUAUAUAUAUAUAUAUAUAUAUAUAAUGUAUAUAUAUAACAGUUCAUGUAAAUUUUGAUUUUUUUGUAAAUUAAAAUAUAAUAUUUUUUUAUAUUGAUAAAUAAAAGCCAUAUUGUUUUAAAGUACUUUAUUCAACAAACAACAAGAUCAGUGGCCCCAACAUUGAUAUGGUUACAAAAAUAGCUAUAAAAGAAAAUAUGACAUAUCAAAAUCCAAUUCAAUAAAAAUCAUAGUCCUCAAACCUCUGUUUCACUCAUGGAAGAAAAUAUCGGUAAUCACAGAUAUAUCGGUAUUUCGAUUUUACGGAUAUAUCGGAUAUAUCGGAGAUAUAUCGGCGGAUAUUCUGGAAAAAAAAAUCGAUAGACUUAAAAUUGUUAAAAACUCAUGAAAAUACAAGAAAAACAUCAUAAUAAUAUAAUUAGAAGUAUAAUUGACAUUUUAAAGUUGUUUUAUUGAAAAAUUUGAUAUAUAUAUAUAUGAUAUAAUUUGCGAUAUUAGAUGUAAUUACAUCAUGUCGAUCUAUAAGAAAUGUUAAUUUUGUAAUUGUUCUCAUUAUAAAGUCACAUAAAAUAUUUUAUUUCAUUAAAUAUCAAUAAUUUGUACACAUUAAAUUCAUUAAAUAAACAUAUUUCAUAUUCAAAAUAUACUAUUUCAUGUUAAUUAAAUUAAUUAAAUAAUUUAGCUAAGUUAACUAGUUUAAUUUAAUUCUAAAUGUGAAAAUAAAUCACAAAUAAUCAUCUAAAAUAAACAUAUCAAUUUAUAAUUAAAUAAUCAAAUUAACCUAAGUUAAUUCAAUAAAAAUAUAAAAAUUAAUUACAAUUGAAUGUAAAAAUAACAUUAAAUCAUCCAUAUUACAAACAUACUAAUUAAAUAAUAUAAAAUAAAUAAUGAUAUAUAUAUAUAUAUAUAUAUAUAUAUAUAUAUAUAUAUAUAUAUAAUUUUUUAAUAUUUAAUUAAUUAUUAAUGAUAUUAAAAACAUUAUGAAGAAAAUUAUAUAAUUUUUAUAUUUUUGGUAAUUAAUUAAAAGACUUUGUAUUUAAUUAUAAAAUAAUUAUAAUUAAUUUGCUAUUUAAAAUAUUCUUAUAUUUUCUUUAUAUAAUGAAUUUAACUAUAUAUAUAGUUGUUGCUUAUUAUAUAUCAAAGGGCAACUUAGCCCAAGUGGUAAGCUGAUGAACCCCAAACCUUUUGGUUUGGGGUUCAAAUCCUCUCAGCAGCAAGAAAGGAAAUGGGAGGCACGGCACUGUAGCGCGUGCACUGUAGCGCGUUGACGGGGCACUGUAGCGGGUCUGACCCGCGUUGACCACGCGAUAUAUCGCGAGAAAUAGCCUAUUUAUCGCCAAAUCACCGAUAUAUCGCGAGAAAUAUCCGAUUUCUCGCGAGAAAUAUCAAAAUAUCGCCGGACCGAUAUUUCUCCAUGAAAUAUCGUGUCGAAACCCUUCGAUACACGAUAUUUCGGCGAUAUAUCGCCGAAAUAUCGCGAUAUUUUCCUCCAUGGUUUCACUAAAAGGUACGUAAUCCUACAAUUCACUUCAUAUGACCCAUGAAGUUAGCGCCAUCAAGAUGAAUUGUCAUAAUUGAAACAAAUCUACAUAAACAAAUAGAGACCAUUUCACAUUUUAAACUACAAUAUCCAUCAAACAACAACAAGACUAAUGUUUACAAAAUUAAUGAAGUUACAAAACUACUGAAAGAAAAGAGUAACCUACCAUUUAAAAAUUUUCUACAUUUGUAUUAAAAAUAUAUGGUAACAAAAUUUUCUAUUAACAUUAAUUUAUUUAAAUAAUUAAUAUUAUUAAUAAUUUAUCUUAUCAAAUUAAUUUUAAUUUAUAAAAUAUUACUGAUAAAAACUGAAAUUUUGAUUUAACCAAAAUAAAGAUGGAUAAUUAAUAAUUAUUUAUAAUUAAUAAUUAAUAAUUUUGAUUUAUAAUAUUGUUCUUGUGAUUUGUUUCCUUUUUAUUUCUAUACUAUAUCUAAAAAACAAACAUGCUCGUUGCCAUUCGUUGAGGCAUUAUGGGAAGGUGAAGGACCCAACGGUGGAGAAUUUGUUGUCGGAGUUUGAUUUUGAGCACACUGUUGGGAGGAGAUUGGUUUCAACCUUUGGAACUCGGUCUGUGGUUCUAAUGGUGGUUGAUGCUUCAAAUUUUGAUGGGUCCGGCCACCACGCGUGAGGCAUCAAGAAGCCCCUUUGUUGAAUUCUUCUCCAGGCAAGCAUCAUGCCUUAUUUUCCUCUGCCACUCUCAAUCCUCGCAGGUACUAAUCUAAUCAUGUUAUUAAUAUUUAUUUUCAACCCCAAUUUGCUUCCCAAGAAAAUCCAUCCCCCAUUCGAUUUCCGGGAAAAUUCAUCAUCGUUUGAUUUCCGAGAGAAAUCCAUCAAAACUCCCAAGGAAAACCAAAUAAAAAAUGCUUUUAUUUUGUUGCUCCCUGUGUUUUCUGGAUCUGUUCUAAGGUUUUAUUUGUUUUUGUGCCAUUGGAUUUAAAUUCUACAAACCCUAAAUCCACGAUUUUUGAGCCACGCUGAAAACCACAACCUUUGCCCUCAAAUUGUGGAUCUGUGUGCGUGUGCGGCGGGCUGGACUGGUAAGUGGAGUUCAAAUACACUAUUUCUUUAAAUUGAUUGCUUUUUUGCCAUUGGAUUUAAAUUCUACAAACCCUAAAUCCAUGAUUUUUUAGCCACGCUGAAAACCACAACCUUUGCCCUCAAAUUGUGGAUCUGUGUGCGUGUGUGAUAUUUUUAAAAAAUUACCCAAUCUUCUGUCAAAGAUCUCAACAAGCAUCAAUACCAACCCAAAUUAACUCGUAAAUCCAUUACAUUCGUACUUGGAAAAGCUCCUCUUAGCUCGGACCACUUCUCUCUAUUUUCACUGCAAGCUCCCCUCGCGAAUUGUGGCUGUGAAAGAAAGUGAAAAAAUAUGGGUUUUUGGAGUUAGGGUUUGGUUCAAGAGAGAAGAAGGGAUUUGGAGGGUUUGGUUCAAAGAGAGAAAAAGGGAUUUAGGGUUUUGAUUCAACACAGAAGAAAUGAUUUCGGGUAAAUCUCACUAUUAUAUUUUAGUAAAUAUUUUUAAAAAAAUAUUGCCACAUGGAGUGUCUACAUGUCAUAUGAGCCAUGUCACUGGCUUAAGUGGAACAUGACUUUGCUGAGUAAUUGAUUAUGUCAAAGUGUAUGAGGGUAUUUUUGGAAGGCUCCUCAAUAUCACUAUUACAGUGUAUGAAAGGUGGUUUAUUUUUCACAAAAUCCAUUGAAUUUGAAAAGUAAAAAGUUAAGUUUCCAAAAGGCAAAAUUUUGCCCCUUGGUGUAUGGUUACAUAAAUUCCCCAUAUUCUAAGAGUAAUCUCCCAACUAUUGCAUUAGAAUAUGUACUUGCUAAUCAAUCAAUCAAUCAAUGGUCAUUGUCCUUAAGGGUCUCCAAAAAGCUCGCGGCUCGCCGCCCGGCCCGACGGGCUAAAGCCCGGCCCAAGCCCGUUUAUGGGCGGGCUGGGCCGCGGGCCGGCCCGUAGGCUCGCCCUUAGGCUCGCCCCUUUAAAAAAAAAACUACAAAAAUAAAAAGUAUUAAAAAAAAUAUUCAUUUCAAAAUUUUAUUCAUUGAAUGUAUAAUUACAUUUAAAAAUGUGGGAAAAGUUUACAUCACUACAAAAUAAAUACAUCCCAACUAGGUUGGCACCUAUUUAUUUGUCAAUCAUCUGUAUUUUUCAAUCACAAAAAAUAAAAAUAAAAAUAUAAUAUACAUUUAGUCAUUAUUUUCUGGCGGUGAUGGCGAACUAUCAUGCAUCCAUGAAGAUCUUGAUAAUUUUAAAGAUUCCAUAUCGGCAAGCAUCUCUGUUUCUCGAAUGGAAUCGUACAUCCUUUUAUCUGCUAUUUCCCCAUCUUUCACACAUAUCCCUGCUUCAAUAACAUCUGGCGCUAAGUUGCAUCGUUUUUUACUAACUACUCUUCCACCUGCACUAAAAGCAGCUUCUGAUGCAACUGUACUCACAGGAACUGUUAGUACAUCAUGAGCAAUUAUAGAAAACACAGGAUAUUUGUGUUGAUGUGAUUUCCACCAUAUUAAAAUAUCAAAAUCUUCUUAAUCUUCAAAUGAAAUUAUAUCAGUAUUAAGAUAUUUAUCUAAAUCAGAUGUAUUAUUUGGAGAACUAUUUGUUGUCUUUUUUCGACUUUUUAACAUUUCUAGAGCUCCUUUGUAAAAAGAUGAGGAGUUUGUAGGUGGUAAUUUAAUAGUAUUAAUAUCAUUACCAUAUUUUUCUUUAUAAUAGUUAUAUAAAUUAUAUAAUAAUGAAUUUAUUUCAUUUUUAAUUUCUUCAAUUUUUAUUUGGUCAUUAAAAUAAAUAAUUGUUAACCAUUCAUCCAAAGCUUCAAAUUUCAAUCUAGGGUCUACAAUUAAAGCAAUAUAAAAAAUUAAAGGUAUUUCUCCCCAAUAUUUUCUAAAUUUUUCUAUCAUUGCAAAUAUUGUAUCAUUAAACAUUUCAAAACUUAAAUAUUUUUGAAGUACAAUAAAAAUAUUAGUUAUUUGCAUAAUAACUCGAUUUGAAGUUGGAUAAUAUACACCACAAAAAAUGUUUGUUGAAGUAUCAAAAAUUUCAAAAAGAUCUCUUAAAAGAUCCGCAAUAUGCCAAUCAUAAUCAUUUAAUGCAUAAAUAUCUGCUUCACAAUCAUUGUUAAUUAAUUGUAUUUCAUAUAAUUCGACUACUUUUCUAUAUUUUGUAAAAGUUUAUAUGUGGAAUUCCAUCUAAUGGCCAUAUCCAAAUUUAUAUUUUUUCUUUUCAUAUUUAACAUUUUGCAACAAUAAAAAAAUAAUUCAUGUUUUGCUUGAGAACUAUUAAUACUAUAUGCAAUGCCUCUAAUUUUUUCCAAUGUACUAUCAACAUUUUUUAAUCCAUCCUUUACAAUUAAAUUUAAAAUAUGUGCACAACAACGCACAUGAAAUAUUUUAGCAUGAUCUUCUUUUACUUGCCAAUAUAGUUUUAGUCUAUGUAUUGCUGUAUCAUUAUUAGCAGCAUUAUCUAAUGUUAUUGUCAAUAUUUUAUCACGAAUGCCUAAAUCUAUAAUUUCAUCAUUUAUUAAAGCUGCUAUAUUUUUACCACUAUGUGGAGCAUUUAUUAAUUUAAAUGAAAUUAUUCUUUUAUUUAAUUUCCAUUCAUUAUCAAUGUAGUGAGCAGUUAUACAUAAAAAACUAGUGUGAGUUAAAGAUGUCCAAAUAUCAGAUGUUAAACAAAUAUUUCCUUCAAAAUUUGCAAAAAAAAAAUUUUAAAUUUCUUUUUGUGUAUAAAUUUUUUUCAUAAUAUCUCUUUUAACUAUAUUUCCAGACCAACUUUUAAAUUGAGGAUUAAUACCUCGUUGAAUUGUUCCUACAAAAUCAUGAGUUUCCAUCAUGUUGAAAGGUUGUUCUGCUCUUAUUAUAUAAUCAAUCAUUUCUUCACGACAGUUAGAUUCAUCAUAAGAAAAUGUUUUUAAAUUUUCACUUUCAUUUUUACCUAAUUGCAUAUAAUUUCUAAUAUCUACAUUAUUUUUAGUUUUACAAUUUUCGUGAUGUCUUUUUAAAUGACUUGUGCCUGCAUUUGAGCCACCAGUAAGAAAUUUAUUACAAAUUUUACAUUUUGCUUUUAUUUCUUUUUUAUUAUUUUCUAAAAUUAUUUCUAUUCUAUCAAAAAAAUUCCAUAUAUUUGAAGUAAAUUUUUUGUUUGAUGAUAUUUCAUCACAUGGACUAUAUGAAGAAGCACUUGCCAUAUUAUAAUUAUUGAUAAAAUAUUAUGCCAAAAAUAAUAAAGUAAUAAAUAUAAAAAAAAAUGUAACAAAAAAAUAAAGUAGUAGGGGUGAAGUAUGUUACUCAAUUAGAGAACCGAUGCAGAAAUUCCUAGCAAAUUUGAACUCUUGGAGCCACCAAUGCUUGUUUUGCACCACCAACAAUAUUGUAUAAUUUGAGGAAAAAAUAAAAGAAUUUGAAAUAUUGUAGAAUGUGAGAGAAAUAGAGAGAGAAAUAGAGAGAAUUUGAUGAAAAAAUGAAAAGGAAGAAAAUGUAUUUAUAGGAAGGUUUAAAAAAAAAAAAAAAAAAUUGGUCAUGUGACCGUUGGAGGCUUAGCCCCAACGGUCACAUGACUCACAUGGGCAGCUGGGCUGGAGCUCCAACGGUCACAUGACCGUUGGAGCCUUUAAUUUUUUUAAAAAAAUAAUAUACUUUAUUUUUAUAUAUAUAUAUAACUAACUCAAUUAAUAAGCACAAAAGGAAUGUAGCUCAGUUGGUUAGAGCCUUGAAAUUUAAGCAUGAGGGGAGGGGUUCGAAUCCCCCCCUCUCCCUUCCUUUUUUUAAAAGCCAUUUUGGCUUAUUUAAAAAAGCCCACGGCCCGCCCCGCCCAGCCCGCCCCUCAGCCCGCCAGCCCGCUAACCCGCGGGCUCAUAGGCCGGGCCGCGGGCCUAACAUUUUUGUAUGGCCCGGCCCGGCCAGGCCUGUUGAUUGGGCCCGGCCCGAGCUGGGCCGCGGGCCUCCUAUUUACGGCCCGCCCGUUGGAGACCCUUAAUUGUCCUUAUGACUUGAGAGCAUGGGAUUGCGCCAUUUUUUUUUUUUUUUACCGACAAGUAGUAAUUGGAAGACAAAAAUUGUUGUAUUUGAUAAAGUCAAUAUCAAUAUGUUGGAGCUUAACAUGUAGGUCUUGUUGUUGUAAAUUCAACUUUUGAUUUCUUCAGGGUUAACUCCAUACCAUUUCAAAUUAGAUGUUUUCUGAGGUAUGCAUGCAUAGAAGGUUCGUAAACCUUAAGGAUUAGCUAACACAACACAUUAGAAUGAAAAUGAUGGAGUGAAGGUCUGAAAAAUGCAACACCCUCCUAGUUGAAGUGCUUGUCCUUGGGCAUUCAAACAUUUAGAGAUUUCUUUGCUACUUUCUAUUUCAUUUCUAACUUUAAAAAUUUGAUUUUGAAAUAUUUUUAAAGUAGAAAUCCUCCAUAAUUAAUUUCUAAAGUAUUUUAAGCAUACAUAAGCAUGUUUUAUUGAAAAUUUGUGAGCAUCUAAAUCUCACAAGAGGAUAGUCAUUAUGGAUGUUUGAGCCUCUAUCUUUCAAUUUUUUUCAAGAUAUUUCUUAAAAGAACUUUCAAAUUUGUUUACUACAAUAAAGAUCAAGGACUCACAUUACUUAAAUUUAAUUUAUUAAGGGUUUCAAACAAUCUAAUAACAGGCAUAAGAAAGUAUUACAUUGAGACAUAGAAAGAAAAGUGAUGGUAUUGAUGAUAUUAUACCUUAAAAAAUAAGUAUAUCAAAUCAAGCUAAAUGAUAUUUUUUUUUUCUUAUAUUUAAUUGAUAACUUGGUGAUCAAGAGAUGAUCCAUGAUCUUUAACCUAGGGGUUCUAGGCAGUUUUUCAUUUUUAUUCUAUAUAUUCUUACAAUUAUUUAGAAAAAGGAUUACUUGCUCGAAAAAGAUUGAAUAUUUUUUGUGUAAUUUCCUAACAACCAAACAUGCUAAUAUUGGCAUUAAUUUUGGUUGACUUUCUUUUGGUAAGAAUAAGACAAAUAACUAAAGAAAGUGCUACGAGAUAUUUGUACACUUUAGGUUCCCUAGGAAGUAUAAGAAAGAUUAGUGAUUUUUUGUUUGUUCGAUUAGUUGGUUGAUUGGAGUUUCGUGUUUUGUUGUUUAUUUGGGAAUUGAUAGGACAUGACCUUUUAAAGAAAAUGAUUCUUUAACAUGAGCACAAUGAACAGUUUUGUCCUUUGCAACAGUAAGUGAGUAUAGAAAUAAAAUGAAAAGAUUUGUACUUUAUAUGAGUUGUUCUUUGGGAAUACUACCUACAUUUGACCUCGAUAAUAAAAUGAUAUGUAAAGUGCAUGUCAUUAAAAAAUUUAUAAAAAUUUAUCAAACUAUAUAACCUAUUGGUGAGAAAUAAUCACAUGCAUUUUAUACGUAUCUAAAUAUCAUAAUUUUUUUAAUAAUUUAUUAUUAAAUAUCAAAUAUAAUUUGUUAUUUAAUGAACUAUCUAACUCUACAUAAAAAUAAUAAAAAAUCUUAAUUUUUUAAUUGUAUUUUUAAUUUUUUUAAUUUUUAAUUUUAUUAAUCUCAAAUUAAUUCUCAUAUUAAAUUAAUUUAUAUUAUUAAUAUAUAAAAGGGUCAUUUUAGGAAAUAAUUAUUUGAAUCAUGAAAAAAUAUAUAUUUUAAAAUAUUUUAAAUGAGUGAGGAUAAAUAUGAUUUAUAAAAGUUUGAGAUAUUUUUUUAUACUUUUUUGUUUUAAAUUGGUAAGUGAAAACCCACUUUUUCCAAAAAUAAUUAUAUAAACAUGUAGAAUAAAACACUACNNNNNNNNNNNNNNNNNNNNNNNNNNNNNNNNNNNNNNNNNNNNNNNNNNNNNNNNNNNNNNNNNNNNNNNNNNNNNNNNNNNNNNNNNNNNNNNNNNNNUCUAUCAACUCAAAGCUUUACUUAGAGUUAGGGAUGAAGAUAGGCGGGCUCACCCGAUCUAAUUUGAACCCAAUUGGAUAUUUGAACGAAUUUAAACAAUCAUUUUUAAUAAUCAGGUUGGGUUGAGUUAGGCUUUUUUCAACCUGAACUUAAUUUGGAUUGAGUUCGGAUUAAGGUUUAGACAACUAGAGUUUAACUUGAAUCCGAUUUAAUGUUUUUAUAAUAUUUAUAACACAUUUUAUUCUAUAUAAUAAUAUAAGUUUUCUUUUUCUAUUUUUAUGAAAAAUAUCAAAUUAUAUUAGAUACUAUGGUUUUUAUUAUUUUUAGAAAAUAUAUAAAUUUAUGCUUAUUCUUUUAUUGCUAUCUUGAAAUUUUGUCCUAUUUGUUAUUAAAAUUUUCAUAUAAAUACAUUAAGAUAAUAUUAUACAUAGAUUUUGAAUUAUGCAACAUGACCAAUUCAAGUAUAACUUGAUCAAUCUGAAUUUAACUUAAACAACCCAAACUCAAUCUAAGUUUAGAAAAAUUAGAUUGGAUUCAACUUGAUUUAAGUACAUUGGGUUAGAGUUCAAGUUGGGUUGAGUUCAAAUUGAUUAUUUCUUAAUUCAAUUUAGGUUUAGGUUAAUCUUCAACUCGAUCAAAUCACCCAAUUUACAACCCUAGAUAGAGUACCAACUUUCGAAUCAUACUUUAAUAAACCCAAAAGCCUAAUUAAGAGUAAAAAAAAGCUACCUAAAAGCAAAUCAACUUGAAUUUUUAUCGAAAAAACAAUAUCAGUAAUACAUUUAAGUUAUGUUUGGUUUUCAAAAAAUGAAGGAAAAUAAAAAAUAGGAUUAAAGUUAAUAAAUUAUUUUUAUAUGCUAGCUUCUUCAAAUUCAUUUAACUUAUUUCUCUCAAUUACCUGAAGAUUAAAUAAUUUUUAAAUAUAUAAAUUUCUAAUGAAUUGUAAUUAUAAUUAAGCUAGGAGAGAUUUACAUUUGAAAAAGUACCAACAUCUUUAACCUAUCUGAGUCAUCUAAGAUAUGUCGAUAUUUCUUAUAAUAAAUAUGAGGUACUUCUUAAUGCAAUUACAAAGCUAAAGCAUUUACAGACAUUGAAACUUUUUCAAUGUUUGUAUCUUAAAGAAUUGCCAAAAAAUAUAAACAAUUGGACAAACUGGAGGCAUCUUGAGAUUGAUGGGAAUAGUGGAUUGACUUUUAUGCCAUGUGGGUUAGGAGAAUUGACUAUGCUUCAGACUCUACCAUUGUUCUUUGUUGGGAAUAACAACAUGAAUUCUAGUGAUAAGAGAAUUGGUCGGUUGAAUGAAUUAAAAUGCAUUAACAACCUCAGAGGAGAAUUGUAAAUUGCACGACUUUCAAAUAUGAGGGGUGGUUGUGAACGUUUGCAAAAAAAAAAAAAAAAACCACCACACAUUAUCGUGGUGAGUGUUUUUUUCUAUAUAUUGUCAUUUACAAAGUACAUAAAAAUAGAAAAAAUAAAUAUGUACAAGAGAAUAGCCUAGAAUUAAGGACAAGAUAUUGAGCCGAAUAUUAAGGUAGCUAAUUAAAGUAACGUAUCCUUGACACCCCCCCCCCCCCCACAAGUUGAGCGUCGGAUUUGAAUAGACAUGAAGCUUGGUACGAAAGAAGUCAAAGAAAGGGCGAGAAACACUUUCGGUGAAGAGGUCGGAAACCUGUAGAUGAGAGGGCACAUAUUGAGUGCGAAGUUUACCAACAACAAGAAGUUCCCGAAGAAAAUGAUAGUCUAAUUCAACAUGCUUAGCCAGUUUGUGGGAAACGGGGUUGGACCUUAAGAAAAUCGCACUUUUGUUGUCACACGGGAGAAUAGGCUUCGGUGUAAUGGGAACCUUAAGAUCAUGAAGUAGAUGGGCGAGCCAAAGGAGUUCAGCUGCAGUAGUGGCAAAGGUACGAUGCUCAGAUUCACAACUAGAACGAGAGACAGUGGGUUGCUUUUUAGCACUCCAAGAAACCAGAUUAUUGCCAAGAUAAAUAGAGUAGCCAAAGGUGGAAUAGGGAGUAUUGGGACAACCGGCCCAAUCAGCAUCAGAGUAAGCAACUAGGGCACUAGGAGCACCAAAAGGGCGAAAAGUAAGACCAAAGUGAAGUGUGCCCUUGACAUAACGUAAGAUGCCCUUGACCGCAAGAAAGUGAUCCUCAGUAGGGGCAUGUAGAAACUGACUAACAGAGUUGACAACAUGAGCAAUGUCAGGGCGAGUGAUGGUUAAGUAUUGAAGGGCACCAACUAGGGAUCGAUAAAGAGUGGGGUCUGAGAAGGCAGUACCAUCACUAGUUAGAUGCUGAGAGACAACCAUAGGAGUGUGAAUAGGCUUGCUGUUAAAUAACUGGGCACAAGUCAGAAUAUCCCAGUCAUGUUUCAGCUGAUUGAUAAAAAGACCAUCAGUAGUGGAAGUGGCUUCCAAACCAAGAAAGUAGCUGAGAGAGCCCAAAUCCUUGGUGGCAAACUCAGAAUUGAGCUUGUGAGCAAAGCUAUCAAGAAGAGAAGAGUUAUUGCCAGUAAUGAUAAUAUCAUCAACAUACAAGAGCAAAUAAAUAAUGUCAGACUAUUGAUGAAAGACAAAAAGAGAGGUGUCUGCACGGUUGCAAGAAAACCCAAGGGUGAGAAGAAAAGAGCUGAAACGUUGAAACCAGGCACGAGGAGCUCUUUUGAGGCCAUAGAGAGCUUUCUUCAAUUGACAGACAUGAUUCGGGUACCGGGGAUCAAUGUACCUAAGAGGUUGUUCCAUAUAACAUUUUCAAUGAGAGUGCCAUUGAGGAAUGCAUUCUUCACAUCAAGUUGGCGAAGAGGCCAUUUGUUGGUAAUAGCAAGAGAGAGCACAACAUGAACAAUAGUAACCUUAAUAACAGGAUUGAAAGUGUUAGUAUAAUCAAGACCAGGUACCUGAGUAUAGCCUUUGGCCACAAGACGAGCCUUGAGGUGCUCAAUAGACCCAUCAGGCAAAUAUUUGGUCCAGAACACCCAUUUGGAACCAACAAUAUUUGUGUGGGCAGGUCAAAGAACUAGAACCUAGGUGCGAUUAUGUUGCAGAGCUUGAACUUCUUCAUCCAUGGCAACAAGCCAUGCAGGAUUCUUAGUAGCAGACUUGAAUCAUUUAGGCUCGGUGGAGGCAAGAAGAGUAGAGAGAAGCCCAAAUGAGCUUAAGACAUUGAGAUUCGUCGGAUGACGGGUCUUGAAAAUGCCAGCUUUAGCUCGAGUAAGCAUGGGAUGAGAACCCAACGGAAGAGCUAGAGCAAGAGCAACAUCAGAAGCAACAGGAGGUGGACGAGGCUUCAGAGACGGGGAAGAUGGACCUACAAGAAAGUCAGUAACUUGCAAAGACUUGUCCAUUGGGUUAGUACAAAUAACACACGGGUUAGAUUCGGACGGUGUAAUGGAGGGAGAAUGGUGUAGAGGAGACAUCGGAGGGGGGUCAACAUGAGGCAUGCUUGGUUAAAGGAAAUUCGAAAAAUGGAGAGAAGAAGGGGGUUGGGCUUGGGAGCCAUUUAUGGAGGGAAAGUGGUGUUUAUCAAAUUGAGCAUGACGGAUGAUAUAAAGCUUAGAGGUGGUGGGAUCAAGACAACGAAAACCUUUGUGGGAAGGGCUAUACCUUAGAAAGAUGGAAAGAAUGCUGUGAGGGGAAAAUUUUUUAGACAUAUAAUCACGCAGACAAAGAUAAACAGGACAACCGAAAUGAUGAAAAUUCUCAUAAUUAGGUUAUGAACCAUAGAGAAGCUCAAAUGGAGACAUACCUCCGAGAAACAGUGUGGGCAAAAGGUUGAUGAUGUAGGUUGUAGUGCUGAAGGCAUCAACCCAAAAGCAAGGAGAAAUAUGAGAAUGGAAAAGGAGGGUCAGACCGGUUUCUGUCACAUGUUGGUGUUUUCUUUCAGCACGACCAUUUUGGGUGGGGGUAUAGGGGCAAGAGAGUUGAUGAUGAAUACCCGAGUUGCUAAGGUGGGCUUUGAAGUGAUUGCUUGUAAACUCAGCACCACCAUCACUUUGAAAAAUUUUGAUGCGAGUAGAAUGUUGGUUUUCAACAAGAUUUUGAAAGUGAAUAAAAAUGUCAUAAAAUUCAAAUUUUUAUUUCAAAGGGUAAAGCCAAGUAAAGCGGGAAUAAUCAUCAAUGAAUAGCACAUAAUAAAUAAAUCCCGAAGUUGACUUAACGGGGGAAGGACCCCAAAUAUCGUAAUGAAUAAGAUCCAACACAUGAGACAAGCGACGUUCAUUACGAGAAUAAGGCAAGCAAUGAUUUUUUGCAAUUUGACACGUCACAUAAUGAAAGAGAAGGCAACAAUGAGGUAAGAUAAAGAUGGUCAUUUUUAUUUAAUAAAGAAAUAAUUGCUAACAUGUCCAAGACGAGCAUGCCAUAAAUCAUACAAGGCAUGAAGAGCCUUAUUUUUAAGAACAAAAAUGAAAGAGGAAUUGUCGUGCUCCAGCACAUAUAGACCACCAUAUCUUUUACCGGUUGCCACCACCCUUCCCGUUUGACGAUUCUGGAUAGAAAAAAGUUAUUAGUAAAUGUAAUAGCAAGAGGAGGAAAACCGGAUGUUAAUUUACUAAUUGACAAGAGAUUUUUCGUUAAGCGAGGAACAACUAAUACAUCCAAUAACUCAAUAGAUGGGGUAGAAGAGAUGGUACCGGUGUGGGUAAUGGGAAGGGAAGCACCAUUCCCGACAACUACACGAUCCUUACCCGUGUAAUUACUUGCUCGAUCCAAGUGGGAGAGGUCUGGUGUCAUGUGGGCUGAAGCCCUUGUGUCCAGGUACCAGUCACUGGGCUUGGGCCUAUUAAGAGAGCAAGAGGCCUUAAAGGCCUUAAAGGCCUCGACAAGGUUGGUUGUGGUGCCAAUAGGUUCUCCACCUUGUGCAUACCGCUGGUUUCACUUAUCAGCGUAGUGCCCUUCCUGGCGACAGAUCUGGCAGCGUGGCGGACGGUGGCCCUGCUCGGAGUUGGAACGACCAUUAUCACGGUGGGAAGAUGAGUGGCGACCUGAUUGAUGACGAGACUGGUUUAUGAAAGCUGAGCGAGGUUGACCGUGAUUGGUGGCUAUGAAAGCAGCUGUGGGUGGGCCAUGAUUGUCAACGGAUUUAUGGAAAAGCUUAAAGCUUUCAGCCUUGGAGACCAAAUCAGGAAAGGAGAGUAGUGGCGUUUGAGCCAUUUGGGCGGGUGGAAAAGCUUGUGAAAUUUGAACCAAGGCUACGAAGGAACCAAUGGACUUUAUCAGUGCCGUCGACUUGUCUUCCAAUCGUGUGGAGUUGAGCACAAAGGGCUUUGAAUGCCCGAGUAUAUUCGGUUACCAAUCGCGUCCCAUGUCUCAUCAAUUGAAAGUCAUCCUUGAGCCGAAUUUCUCUGGCUUUUGAUCAGUGACUGAAUGUAUUUUCGAGUGCUAACCAGACCUCGCAUGAGGUGGAGAGGCCCACGACCUUGGCCAUGGCUUCCUCCGUGAGGGAGGAGAGCAAAAGACUCAAGAGGCGCUGGUCAGUAUUUUUCCACGCCAAGUGCUUGAUGUUUGGUGUCCGAGAGUCAACAGGAGCAAACCGUGGAGGAGAUGCAAGAGUUCCAUCCACAUGGCCGAGAAGUUCUUGGCUUUCAAGGAGAGGAAGAAGUUGGCUCUUCCAUAUGAGAUAAUUGGAGGAGGAGAGUUUGAUGGUCACCAUGUGAAUCAUGGUGUUGAAAGGGAGAAUGGUGGGGGAGGUGUUUUUGAUAGCCAUUGAAGCAAGGGGGAUCGAUGGAGGCUAGUCCGAGAGGGCUCUGAUACCAUGUGAACGUUUUCAAAAAGAAAAAAACCACCACACAUUAUUGUGGUGAGUGCUUCUUCUACAUAUUGCCAUUUACAAAGUACAUAAAAAUAGAAAGAAUAAAUAUGUACAAGAGAAUAGCUUAUAAUUAAGGACAAGACAUUGAGCCGAAUAUUAAGGUAGCUAAUUAAGGUAAUGUAUCCUUGACAGUGGUGCAUUAGAUUCCAAGGAAGCAAAUUUGAAAGGAAAACAGUGCUUUCAUUCCUUGAGAUUAUAUUGGUUGGAGCCAAUAGAAUGGAUGAUAUGGGACUUUGAACCAGAAAGGAACAACGUUGAGGAGGCUGAGUCGGUGACCCAAGUCUAAAGGAGCUCUACAUUAAGGAUUAUAUUGGUGAGAGGUUCCCAAGUUGGAUGAUGAAUGAUGGGUUUGGUUCAUUGCUCCCAAAUCUAGUGAAAAUUAUGAUGAAGAGGUGUAAAAGAUUCAGAGUUUUGCCACUGUUCGGUCAACUCCCUUCUCUUCAGUAUCUGGAGCUUGAGUGUUGUAUGGAGAACAUGAAGAGCUACUCAUCAUCAGCAACACCAUUCUUCCCAUCCCUGAAGACACUUCGACUUGAAAGGUUGCCUCAUUUGAUGGAAUGGGGAAAGAGGGACGUAGCAACAGAGCAAGCUCCUUCAGUUCCUUGUCUUUCCAAACUAAAGAUCAAAGUUUGCUGGCUGGCCCUAAAUUGAUGUCCUUGGCAUUGCCUUCAUCUCCUUCUAGUCUUUCUAUUCUAGAUAUCAAAGAAUGCAAUAACUUGGCAUCCUUGGCACUACCAUCAUCUGCUUUUCUUUAUGAUUUCUCAAUUAGACAUCAGUUCUUGCAAUAACUUGACAUCAUCGACACUUUCUUCAUUUCCUUGUCUUUCUCAAUUACAUAUCAAUUUUUGCCAGAACUUGAAAUCAUUACCAUUGUCUUUGUUCCUUGUAUUUCGAAAUUGCACAUCAGAUCUUGCCAUAAAUUUUUGCAAUAAAUUACUGUUUUUUGAGGAUUUGUUUUGGAAAUAAAUUACUUUUUAGGAUUUUUGCAAUAUUUUUUAGUUGUUUUAAAUUGUUUUCACUUGUUUUUUAUGAUUUGUUUUAAAAAAUAAUGGAAAAAACAAGCUUUGAUUCACUAAUUUGAAAAAAUAUAAAAAAAAUGACUUCCACUUUUAUAAAUCAGUUUCAUCUUUAUUCAUUUAAAAAUAUUUUUAAAUAUAUGUAUUUUUUAUAACUCAAAUUAUUGUUUUCUGAAAUACUCUUUUACUUGAUAAUAUUAAAUAAAAUUAUUUAAAAUUAUAUUAUAAUUUUUUUAUUGUAUAACAUAAGAUAUAAAUUAUUGUGGAAAAAUCAUAUAGGAUUCUUAAGUAAUAAAUAAAAUCUUUAUAAUCCCUUAAUCAAUAAUGAUUUUAUAUCGUGAAUUAUGUAAAUCCCAUCAUUUUCUCAUUUAUCUAAUAAAAUUAAAUACAAAUUUUGUUAGUUGACAUCAACAAUAAAAUAAAAAAUUUUAAAAAUUAAAAAUACAAUUAAAACUAAAAUACAUAAAGAUUAAAUACAAUUUAAAACAAUAAAAACUAAAAAAUUAAAAUAAAAAUAUUUACUCCCAUUGUAUUUUUAACUAUUUCUUGAUAUUUAUAUUUUCUAUUAGAAUGUUUUAAUUAAGUGAAAGUUAAUAUUUUAUUUUUAUAUUUUUAGCUUUAAAGUCUUUUUUGUUUUAAUUGUAUUUUUAAUUUUCUUAAUUUUUUAUUUUAUUAAUCUCAAAUCAAUUCUCACUUUAUAUUAAUUUGUAUUAUUAACAUAUAAAAGGGUCAAUUUAGGAAAUAAUUAUUUGAGUUAUAAAAAAGUGUACAUAUUUUAAAAUAUUUUAAAUGAGUGAAGAUAAAUUUGAUUUAUAAAAGCUUGAAUUCUUUUUUCUAUAUAUAUAUAUAUAUAUUUUUUUUUUAAAUUAGCCAAUAAAAACCCAUUUUUUCUAAAAAUAAUUAUAUAAACACGUAGAAUAAAACACUACACAUAAAAAUUAUUUUUAAAAAUAAUAAAAAUAUGUUAAAGAUAAUUUAUGUCUUUAAACAAACCUUUUCUUUACAAAAUAUAAAAGAAUAAUUUUUUAAAACUGCUAUUUAAAACUAUUUUUGAUUCAAAAACGUACAAUUUCUAAACAUAGCCUAUGUUUUUGUCUUCUUUUCUUUUUAUCACCUUGUUCUUUACUUUGUUUUCUUAUACUCUGCACAAGGCUCUUUAGUUUCCUCCACAACACUCCUACCAACUGCCACCACCUUCUUUGACAGGCCAUACAUAGCUUAAUGUUUUAAAAAAUGAAGAUAAAAAGGAAAUCAUUAAUUGGAUGUCAACCUAAUGCAACCAUUAUAUUUAAAUUGAAUUGUUUUGUAGUUGGUCGGUGUAGACCCCUUUUAAUAGGCCACCCCCGGGAGGAGUAAAAUUUUCGUUUUUUUUAGGGGUGGGGGACGACUACCAAUGGCACAUGAAGACGCAUGGCGAAGCGCGUCACCAACUCACCAUGGUGGUGGUUGGGAUGGCGACCUGGCUGAGCGGUGAAUAAGGGAGCAGAUAAUGGCUUGGUUGGGAAGAAAACCGGAUGGGGGGCCAAGUCUAGAGGGUAAAGAACAAAAAAAUGAGUUUUGGGUGGAGAUACUGGAGGAUGCUGGGUUGGUUGGGGGAGUCUAGGGUUCUAGGGAAAAAGAAUUCUCUGGCCAGGCGAGAGCUGUGAAGGAGCUCUCAGGUAAGUUUACAGGGUAUCUCUCGUUCAUAUUCACUAUCACAGUUCUUUCAUUUUUUCCUCUUGCUAUUUGGGGUUCCGUUUGUUUGUUUGGAUAUGGAUAAUAGGAGAUAUGCAUGAGUUUUGUUGAUUUCCGGCUCGUUUAUAUGCCCAUUGAUCGUUUCAUUCACUGUCCUUCUUAGCAUUGGUUUAAACCUAGUAAAGUUAUGUUUCAUUUUGCUCUAUGUGAAGAUAUUGUUUGCUAUUUUCUCGUUUGGACCCGUCGGUACCCUUCCCACCAAUCCAAGCCCGUUGAAAGAGCAUUAGAUAUGGUUUCUCUUGAUUCAUAUGUAUAUUUUCUUGUUUACUUUUCCUAUUUUGUUUUCACGUUUUUACUCUCCUCCAUCCCUCCACCCCUCCACCCUCUAAUCCACCACGCCCAUCUUUCACCCACAUACCAACCCACUUCUGCCACCACCCAACCCGACAUCAUACUUCUACAUAUCCUUCAUUCAUGACUCCAUCCCACCAUGCAUGGAAAUACCAACCCUAUUACAAUCCGUUUCUAUGCCUCAUUCAUACCCAUUUCCUAUCCACAUGCAUGAAACCAUGUAUGGAACUAUGCAUAUCAACACCCUUCUAUGGAACCAUGCAUAUCACCACCCUUCCGUGCCCACCUUACCCAUUCUUUCUUACCACCUCUCUCUACACCACGUUCAUAAUGCCCACUUUCUAUCCACAUGCAUGAAACCAUGCAUAUCACCACCCUCCUAUACCCACCUUACCCAUUCUUUCUUACCACAUUUCUCUUUCUACACCACGUUCUUCAUGCCCACAUCCUAUCCACAUGCAUGAAACCAUGCAUAUCACCACCCUCCUAUACCCACCUUACCCAUCCUUUCUUACCACCUUUCUCUCUACACCACGUUCUUCAUGCUCACUUCCUACCCACAUACAUGAAACCAUGCAUAUCACCACCCUCCCAUGCCCACCUUACCCAUUCUUUCAUUAACCUAUCUCUCAUUCCGCACCUCCAUUCUUCAUGCCUUUCGGGAACCAUACCACCAUACCCAUAUCAACACCCACUAACCCAUUCCCUUAUCAUAUUAUCGAUACCCUUUUCUCUUACUUAUCACCUUUCUCAUUUUCCAAACCUCCAUCACUCGCUCCACUAGUCUCAUACCCAUUUUUCCUCACCACCGUGGCAACCUCCAUCCACACCGCCCUACUUUCUUGUCCUUUAUCUUAGAGAGAAAAUUUUGGUAAGUUACUCAUUUUAAUUUCUACAGUGGGUGUAUUUUUUUAUGUUUGUGGGUCUUGCAUAUUGGCUUUGAGCCCUUGGGCCUGGGUGUAAUUGGGCAUGGUUUGAGUUGAUUAUUAUAAAGCAAGUUGUGGGCUGUGAGACCCUUGGGACCGUUUAGGCUUGGGUCAUUAUGCUAAUGGAUAUGGGCUUGGGAUGGUGCCUAGGCCCAUAUGUGUUGAUGAAAGGCCUCAUGUUUUGUUCACCCAUCUUAAGUUGGCUCAUGCCCAUUUCAAGUCCAUACUCACUUCAAGUUAGCCCAUUUGUUUGUUUUCAAUUUACAUAAUUUACCUUUUUAAAAGCCCUAAUUUCUCAAUAAAUUUUCUAAAUUUAAAUUCCAAUUUCUGAAAUUUUAAUUUUCACAUCAAUUUAUUUAAUCAAUAUUACUUUAUUCAUUUGUUUAUUUGUUUAUUUUUAAAAUUCAAUCUUUAAAAAAUCCUUCAAAAUUCCGAUUUCUAAAUUUUAAUUCUAAUUUCCGAAAUUUUAAUUUGCAUAUCAAUUUAUUUAAUCAUUAUCAUUUUAUUCAUUUAUUUAUUUGUUUAUUUUUAAAAUUCAAUCUUUAAAUAACUCUUCGAAAUUCUGAUUUCUAAAUUUAAAUUCCAAUUUUCGAAAUUUUAAUUUUCACAUCAAUUUAUUUAAUCCUUAUUAUUUUAUUUAUUUAUUUAUUUGUUCAUUCUUAAAAUUCAAUCUUUAAAUAACUCUUCAAAAUUCCGAUUUCUAAAUUUAAAUUCUAAUUUUCGAAAUUCCAAUCUUUAUAUCAAUUUAUUUAAUCAUUAUCAUUUUAUUCAUUUAUUUAUUUGUUUAUUUUUAAAAUUCAAUCUUUAAAUAACUCUUCAAAAUUCUGAUUUCUGAAUUUAAAUUCCAAUUUCCGAAAUUCUAAUUUUCACAUCAAUUUAUUUAAUCAUUAUUUUAUUUAUUUAUUUAUUUGUUUGUUUAUUUUUAAAAUUCAAUCUUUAAAUAAUUCUUCAGAAUUCCAAUUUUUGAACUUAACUUCCAAAAUUCCCUUUCUUAAAUUCAAUUCCCAAGACUCCAAUUUCCAAAUAAUUUUCGAGACUCUGAUUUUCAAACAAAUUUCAAAAAUCCAGUUUUCACUCGAACAGUUUUAAUUCCAUCUCGAUUCUCAAAUAAUCUGUUGUUCAUCUUGAUUUUACAUAAGUAUGAAUGUCAUUUUUCAUAAUUCCAUAAUAAUGGAAUUUGUGAUAUUAAUUCGUGCAAAAUAGAUCGGGCUUUGGUGGGGGCCCCACAUACGUGAUUUUAUGAUUGAUUGAUUUAUUCUAUUCCAUAAUAUGCACAUAAUCAUUCUAUGUUUGUUCACUAACCAUUUGUUUUCCUUUAAGUAAAUCAGUUCAUCACUGAGGUACAUUAUUUGCGUCUCCCAUUCAUUCAAUUAUUUUGUUUUGAGUGGUAUUUAUUUGGUAUCUAUGUUCGAUUAAUCAAUUGUUAUGCUUGUUUCAUUUUAUUAACAGAGAUCCAUUUUAGAGACUUAAAGGGAUGUUAUAGUCUUUAUCGUACCUUCUCGAUAAGUAACCUGACCCUCGAACCCGAUUCGGUUUUUUGUAGACCACCUUUUCCAAAUAAGGAGUCACACUUAGGGUUUUCUUUCUUAUUUUGUUUACCAUUUAAAAAUAAAAUUAAAAUAAGUGGCAACUCCAAGUUUUUUUUUUUUCAAAAAAAUCAAAUUUCCAUCAAAUAAAACAAAAAGCGAAUUUCGCCAUCGAGGGGAAGCGCAUGAGCCGAAAUGCGGGGUCCACGUUUAGAUUUCCACAUCUUUCCCAAAUAUUGUUGAAGUAUUGGUUUGACAAGGGCUAUUUUCUUCUAGAAAAUAAGUGAACAUAUAUAUUAUUAUCACUUCAAAUAAAGUCUAUGGGAAUUAUGGCUUCUUACUUCAAUGUUAAUCUGGAUAGACAACUCAUAUUUUUAGUCAUUACCAUAAUUGUUGCAAUCAUGCCAUUAAUAUAUUUGUGACUAGUGUAUUUAAAUACCACAUCCACAAUCAUAGCUGUAAUUGCUCCAUGUAUCAAGCCAUUACAUGCGUUUAUAUACCCAUGUAAAUUAUGAAUGAAAGCAAGAGUUUUUCUUUUGUUUUAAAUCUAUCAACUCAAAGCUUUACUUAGAGUUAGGGAUGAAGUUAGGCAAGUUCACCCGAUCUAAUUUGAACCCAAUCCGAUAUUUGAGCGGAUUUAAACAAUCAUUUUUAAUAAUUGGGUUGGGUUGAGUUAGGUUUUUUUCAACCUUAACUUAAUUUGGGUUGGUCUUGGAUUAAAGUUUAGACAACUAGAGUUUAACUUGAAUCCGAUUUAAUAUUUUUAUAAUAUUUAUAACACAUUUUAUUCUAUGUAAUAAUAUAAGUUUUCUUUUUCUAUUUUUAUGAAAUAUAUCAAAUUAUAUUAUAUACUAUGUUUUUCAUUAUUUUUAGAAAAUAUAUAAAUUUAUGUUUAUUCUUUUAUUGCUAUCUUGAAAUUUUGUCCUAUUUGUUAUUAAAAUUUUCAUAAAAAUGCAUUAAAAUAAUAUUAUACAUAAAUUUUGAAUUAUGCAACAUGACCAAUUCAAGUGUAGCUCGAUCAAUCUGAAUUUAACUUAAAUAGCUCAAACUCAAUCCAAGUUUAGAAAAAUUAGAUUGGAUUGAACUUGAGUUUAGUACAUUGGGUUAGAGUUCAAGUUGGGUUGAGUUUAGAUUGAUUAUUUCUUAAUUCAAGUUAGGCUUAGGUUAGUCAUCAACUUGAUCAACUCACCCAAUUUACAACCCUAGAUAGAGUACCAACUUUCGAAUCAUACUUUAAUAAACCCAAAAGCCUAACUAAGAGAUAAAAAAAAGCUACCUAAAAGCAAAUCAACACAUGAAAUCAACUUGAAUUUUUAUCGAAAAAACAAUAUCAGUAAUACAUUUAGGCUAUGUUUGAUUCUCGAAAAAUGAAGGAAAAUAAAAAAUAGGAUUAAAGUCAAUAAGUUAUUUUUAUAUGUUAACUUCUUCAAACUCAUUUAAUUUAUUUCUCUCUAUUAUAUGAAGAUUAAAUAAUUUUUAAAUAUAUAAAUUUCUAAUGAAGUGUAAUUAUAAUUGAGCUAGGAGAGAUUUACAUUUGAGAAGGUACCAACAUCUUUAGCCUAUCUGAGUCAUCUAAUAUAUGUCGAUCUUUCUUAUAAUAAAUUUGAGGUACUUCUUAAUGCAAUUACAAAGCUAAAGCAUUUACAAACAUUGAAACUUUUUCAAUGUUUGUAUCUUAAAGAAUUGCCAAAAAAUAUAAACAAUUGGAUAAACUUGAGGCAUCUCGAGAUUGAUGGGAAUAGUGGAUUGACUUUUAUGCCAUGUGGGUUAGGAGAAUUGACUAUGCUUCAGACUCUACCAUUGUUCUUUGUUGGGAAUAACAGCAGGAAUUCUAGCGAUAAGAGAAUUGGUCGGUUGAAUGAAUUGAAAUGCAUUAACAGUCUCAGAGGAGAAUUGGCAAUUGCACGUCUUUCAAAUAUGAGGGGUGGUGCAUUAGAUUCCAAGGAAGCAAAUUUGAAAGGAAAACAAUGCCUUCAUUCCUUGAGAUUAUAUUGGUUGGAGCCAAUAAAAUGGAUGAUAUGGGACUUCGAACCAGAAAGGAACAACGUUGAGGAGGCUGAGUCAGCGACUCAAGUCCAAAGGAGCUCAUAAAUAAGGAUUGUAUUGGUGAGAGGUUCCCAAGUUGGAUGAUGAAUGAUGGGUUUGGUUCAUUGCUCCAAAAUCUAGCGAAAAUUAUGACGAAGAGUUGUAAAAGAUUCAGAGUUUUACCAGUACUGUUUGGUCAACUCCCUUCUCUUCAGUAUCUGGAGCUUGAGUACCUAGAUUCUGUAUGGAGAACAUGAAGAGCUACUCAUCAUCAGCAACACCAUUCUUCCCAUUCCUGAAGACACUUUGACUUGAAAGGUUGCCUCAUUUAAUGGAAUGGGGAAAGAGGGGCGUAGCAGCAGAGCAAGCUCCUUCAUUUCCUUGUCUUUCCAAACUAAAGAUCAAAGUUUGCUGGCCGGCCCUAAAUUGAUGUCCUUGGCAUUGCCUUCAUCUCCUUCUAGUCUUUCUAUUCUAGAUAUCAACGAAUGCAAUAACUUGGCAUCCUUGGCACUACCAUCAUCUCCUUUUCUUUAUGGUUUCUCAAUUAGACAUCAGCUCUUGCAAUAACUUGACAUCAUCGACACUUUCUUCAUUUCCUUGUCUUUCUCAAUUACAUAUCAAUUUUUGCCAGAACUUGAAAUCAUUACCAUUGUCUUUGUUCCUUGUCUUUCGAAAUUGCAUAUCAGUUCUUGCCAUAAAUUUUUGCAAUAAAUUACUGUUUUUUGAGGAUUUGUUUUGAAAAUAAAUUACUUUUUGCAAUAAAUUUGAGGUGUUUUUAAAAAAUAAUAGUUUUUAAAUUUUUUUAAAACACUGAGGUAUAAAAAAAAAUUAUUAAUUACCUUAAAUUUUAAAUCUUUUAAAAGUGACUUAUUUUUAUUUUUAUUUUUUCUUCAGGAUAUGUAAGCCAUCUCUUAUUUGACCAGGGACUUGUGGAGCUGUUGUCGUUACCUGUAAAAGCUUGUGCAUGAUGGACAAUGAUAUAGUACCAAACAGGAAAGGAUUUGGUGGAGCUUCCCUUUAAAGUAUGUGCAUGAUGAUGAAUUAUGAUCAUUUGAGGGAUUGACGAUUUUUAGAAAGAAAAAAGUGAAUUUGAAAAAGAAAAUGUCUGAAUGAUACUGACACCCAGCCUGUAAAGCACAAAGUGUGGUCAGACUAUACGAAUCAAACUUUAGCAACAUUGCCAAUGUAUUGGUCUCAGCAACACCAAUUUAAAAAUCCCCAUUAAACUCGGUAGCUCAGUGUUUACAGAUUUUGUGUUCAUGGCUGGUUCUCUUGAGAAUGCCAUGGUGCUGUCAUCAACAACCGAUGAAGAUGAGAAACAGAAGGGAAGUAGAAGCAAAAGAGAGAUCAUUUCCACCCUCCCAACUGAAAAAGGCUGGAAAAUUCAGGGUCUUAUGUACCAGUACCAAGGCUUUUGGUACUAUUCUGGGGGUGCGGUAGAAGGAGUCAUGUGGAUGCAAAAAUGCUUCAAGGCAAGGAAUGAAGAUGUUCUCUUGGUCUCCUUUCCAAGAUGUGGAACAACAUGGUUGAAAUCUCUCAUGUUUUCUAUCAUGAAUCGAACCAGGUAUGAUUUCUCAGCACACCCUUUGCUGACUUCUAGCCCUCAUGAACUUGUUCCCUUCUUGGAAUUCUACGCAGAGCAGAACAUCCCCUUCCCAGACCUGGACACACUUUCCUCUCCUCAGCUCUACCAUACUCACAUUGCCCUCACUUCAUUACCCCAACCUGUCAUAGACUCUCAGUGUCGAAUUGUCUAUAUCUGUCGCAACCCCAAAGAUGUGUUUGUUUCUAUUUUUUGUUUUCUCUCGAGAUGGAAUAUAGUGGUUCCCCUUGAAGAGGCAUUUGAGUUGUUCUGCAAAGGAAUUAGCGUGUAU
This 44963-nucleotide long non-coding RNA is filed under the name Vitis vinifera (wine grape). RNAcentral's name for it is "long non-coding RNA (VVIN_LNC004359)". The record is from RNAcentral. Lineage: Eukaryota; Viridiplantae; Streptophyta; Magnoliopsida; Vitales; Vitaceae.